UCUCUCUCUCUCUCUCUCAUCCGGUUAUCCAAACUUCACACACACAUAAAGAAAAACGGCCGGCUGCGAUCGUUUUUCCAUCUACAGGUUCCGGCGAGUAUACGAGCGGAUUUGGUGGAAAUAACGGCGUUGCAACGAUGGCUGGAGGAGCAGCCGAACAGCAGUACGCGAAGGCGAAGAUAUCUGUCUGGUGGGACAUAGAGAACUGCCAGGUACCUAAAGGCUGUGAACCUCAUUCGAUCGCUCAGAAUAUAAGUUCUGCUUUGGCUAAUAUGAACUACUGUGGGCCAGUGUCGAUUUCCGCUUACGGCGACACCAAUCGGAUCCCUGCCUCUGUUCAGCAAGGCCUCAACAGCACCGGCAUCUCUUUGAAUCACGUGCCCGCCGGUAUAUACCCUUAUCAAACCUACACUUACACGCUUAAUUAUAUAAAACCUGAGUUUAAUUUGAUGUUCAACUAGAAAUGGGUGUUGUGUUUAUCUUGCUUUGACUUCAGAUUGUGGUGAAAAUCGAAACCCUAACACCACGUAUACAGAAAUCUGUUUAUUCAAAUUCAUACAUACUCAAUUCGACUGUUCACUGCUCUUUUAGAGUUUAUUUAUAUUUGAGAGCUUUCAAGAAGAUCUGGUUAUUAGUUGACAUUUCUUAGUUCAGUAGAGAAUGGAUUGCAUUAUAAUUUAUACUCUUCUUUUUAAUGAUCAGGUGUGAAAGAUGCAAGUGACAAGAAAAUUUUGGUAGACAUGUUAUUUUGGGCAGUGGAUAACCCUGCCCCAUGCAAUUAUCUGUUAAUUUCUGGUGAUCGGGAUUUCUCAAAUGCAUUACAUCAAUUAAGAAUGAGGAAAUACAACAUUCUUUUAGCUCAACCUCAGAAAGCUUCCAUUUCCCUCCUUGCAGCUGCUAAAAGUGUAUGGCUAUGGACCAGUCUUUUGGCUGGAGGUCCACCAAUAACUACCGGUGAAUCACCCACACCUGAUACCACCUACAACCACACUCCACCUCCUAACUCACUACAUACUCCGGCUCCCGAGUCAACUCAUAUGCAUCAACCCUUUGACAACCACAUGUAUCCACAUCCACAUCCCCAGCAAUUUGCAAAUAUGGCAAUGCCUCCUAACUAUCUUUCUCAUCUUCAAAGGGCCAUCCAAGAGGCCAAUUAUAUGGAAGAAAAAACCCGUUUAUCUUCAAACCCGGGUGAGAAACGAAAAUUUGAAGGUUCGCCUGGAACCUCAUCUAAGAAAAAUCGCGUCACUAAUAAUAAUAAUAAUAAUAAUAGUAAUAGUAAUAAUAAUAAUAAUAAAGGAAAGAAUCCUAAGAAGGGAGGGAUUCCUCUGUGUCUAAGUUGUAACAAAUAUCAUUCGGGUGAGUGUCGGUGCCCACGAUGUUUCCGAUGUGGACAGUUGGGUCAUAUAAGCACUGACUGCCUGAAUAAAGAAAUUACGUGUUUCAGAUGUGGUGAAGGUGGUCACAAAUCUGACACGUGUCCAAAGAAAUAUGUUUUACCUAAGAAAGCUAAUAAGAAAAAAGUAUCCCCCAUAAAAAAAGAAGCGAGUGAUGCUUCACGAUGUUACCUCUGUGGGAAUUUGGGUCAUAAAAGAUCCAAUUGCCCGAAUGAAGGUCAACAGGUAACAUGUUUUGGAUGUGGUCAACUUGGUCACAAAGCUGGUGAGUGUCCAAAGAAUAAACAGAAUGGUGAAAGUAGUAAGAAAGCUGACACAAGUCCAAUUAAAGAAGAUGAUGGUUCAACUUUAAGUGCAUUAGCUAAGAAAACCGAAUUACAAUCCGAACCGCAGAUCGUACAAGUAUUAAACAUGAAUACCGCAGAAGCGGUGGUGGUGAUUCCUGAUGUGAAUGUGGUCUCAGGUAUGCAUUAUUUUAUUUGAUCAGGGUGCAAUUUUGUCAUUUAUAUCGGUUGUGUUUAGUCAUUUAUAGCCAUCCAAGGAGUAUUUCAUAUGUAACUGCAAAGCCACUUUUUGCAUGUUAAUAUAUGUAGAGUUUAUCAACUAUGAAAGUUGUUUGGAGGUAACCUACAAACAAAGUUGUUCAAGAUAUAGGUCAUUGUAACCUGCUAUAGCAGGUUUACCGCUUACCUCUCAUAAAUCCAUUUUUUUCCACAUUUUUGCCCCCAGUUUUAAUUUGGUCGCAAACUUUUUUCUUCCAAAUUUAUUCUCUCUCUCUCUCUCUCUGUGUGUGUGUGUGUAUAUAUAUAUAUAUAUAUAUUAUAAUUAUUUGUAUUUAACGACAUUAGUAAUAUGUUUUGUACAUUUUUUUACAAGUUCAUUUUACAAACUUGUUUUUUACUACGCUUUUAAAUAAAUUAGUAAAAACCUGCAAAAUUGGUUUUCAUAUUUUUUUUACAUGCUUAUUACAGUUUUUUUUCCCUUACGAAUUAAUUUUUUAUUUUUUGGUAAAAGAACGACUUUAAAAAAUUGUUGUCUUACAGAUUUAUUUUUCAAAAGCUCACAAAAAAGAACUUCUAAAAUAUUGUUUUUUUUUUUUUACAAUUUUGUUUUCUACAAUCUUAAAAAAUCUGUAAAAAUGAAAACUAGUAUAAAGCAUGUAAAAACGAAUCAGUGCAUGUUUUUUACAAAUUCUGUAAAAAAGUUGCUAGAAGCAAACUUAUAAAACAUGAGUUUAAAAAGAAAAAGAUGUAAAAAGUGGUUGGGACCAAAUUUGUAACAAAAACUAAACUUGUGGCAAACUUGUAAAAAGAAGUUGGGUAAAUGACAGGUGAUCUAUUUUGAACAAGUUUCAUAGUUGGUUAUUACCUCUACAUUUUAGCUAUAAUUGACAUUAAUUUCUUUUUGGAAUCGAAUGGAUUGCCUGGGUGUGGGUGAAAAUCUGUUUUGGAAAAAGAUAGAUCCAUGUUUGUGUUUGUGUUUGUGUUUGUCUACUGGAAAGGAUGCAAAACUUUUAUAGGAAUCACCAAACCAAAGAAAGCCAUGAGAAAAGUUAUUUAUUUAUUUAUUUUAUUUUUUCGUCUGCAUAUGUAAGUAACAUUGAUGCAAAGAAAGGAAUGAGUGAGAACACAUUUCGUGUAUGGGUCCGGGAAGUAAUCUAUGGACAUGUGGAUUGCUCUUCAGCAUCUAUCACAUGGGUUUAUUUUUAUUUUCCCAUUUACUAACUCAUUACUCAUUAGUGUGUCUAAGAUGUCAUCAAUUAUUUGAUUUUGACUUUCCUUACACAUACAUCUGAUUCUGAUAUGUGUAUCCUCAUAUUAUUUACACAUGGGCAUGUUUUAUAUUUGAUUUUAGUCGUGUUUAAAAAGCUCAUGACUCACUAGAUGUUUUGUCAUCUACGUAUUUUUCUUUCGGUGUGCAGCUGUCCAUGUAAGUCAUGAAGAUGGAUUAUCUAGCCCUCCCUUCUGAGACUUAAGUAAGACUACUUGUAGAUGCCUUUAAAUUUGACUUAAUCUUUUUCAAAAAUAAUCAUGCCAAGUCUAGUUAGUGAGGUUUUUUGUUUUUAUACCGGGAUUUAGAUUUCUAUGCUGUGACAAGUUUUCUGGUUACCUUUCAUAUCCUUUGAUUUUUUUAUUUUUUUUUUUGGUAUUUCUAGGGUUUUCCUCAUACAAGACUUGCCUUGAGUUGAGUUGAAGUUUUCAAAAAGAUGUUCUAAUCUCUUGUUUGAACUGUUUGGCUUACCAUGGUUGUACAUUUUAAAUUUAUUGAACAAAAAUCUGCACUUAUCUUAUGGUUCAUUUCUUUAUUUUUGCAUUUUUUUAGUUGAUCGACACUCUCCUUUGAAUGGAGAAAGUAUAUUUUAAUAUUGUGCUUUCAUUUUUUUCGUUUUCUUUCUAUCAAGACACUGCUUUGAAAAAUGUAUCCAAUCGUUUGAUUUAUCAAGUUUCUAUUUAUUAAGAUGUUAUAUUUUGAAAAAUCUAUCUAAUUAUAACAAUGAAAAUAUUUUUUGUAUUUGGAUGACAUUGUUAUAAUUGGAUAGAGUUUUCAAAAUGCAAAAUUUUAGUAGUAUUUUCGUAAUAAACAAAAAAAGUAUAUUGUUAUUUCUUUCGUUUAACCAUUAUCUAUCAGCUUGUCUCUCACUGUCACUCUAUUGUUACAUGUAUCUUCAAAUUUUACUGAAUAAUAACAUUGUAUUUUCAAUAUUUUUGUUAGAAGUGGCACAUUUUACUUUAAAAACUUUACCCAUAAUAUUAUGAAAAUUUAUUUUGUAUAUGGAUGAUAUUUUUUUAUUUGGGUAGAUUUGUCUACAACAAAAUUGUAUAAGUAGAAAAAAAAAAUGUAAGUAUGAUGCUAUGAUAAAAAUAUAACUGAAAGUACCUUGCUAUGUCUAGCAUGUAACCAUUUACCAAUACAUCUAUUGUCACAUGGCUUCUUUUACUAGUUUGUAAUUCCCAUAUAUCUUGAAAAUCUAUCCAGUUAUAGCAUGGUAUAUUGAAAAAUAUACCAAGUAUAACUUUGUACAAUGUAUUUUCAUAAUCUUUUUUUAUCACAACAUUGUAUUUUUUAUUAGGACAUUGUACUUUAAAAAAUCUACCAACUUAUAACAAUAAAAAAUAUUUUGUAUUAGAUGACAUUGCUAUAAUUUAAUGGAUUAUACAAAUAAAAAAAGAUGUUAUAAUAAAAGUAAAUAAAGCUAUGUUCACAUGUAUCUUAAAAAUUUAUGUAAUUAUAGCAUUGUACUAUCAAUCAAUAUUACUAUGACAUUGUACUCUAAAAUUCAUCCAAUUAUAACAAUGAAAUUGCUUUUUAGAUGGAUAACAUUUCUAUAAAUGGAUAAUUAAAAAAAAUGUUACAAUAGAAAGAAAUUUAAGUAGGAUGUUUUAAUAAACAAAUAAAUAAAAGAAUGUUGUUAUUUUUAGUUUUUAAUACUUCGUUGUAUCUUAUAAUAUCUCUUUUGUGACCACGUAUCAUAGAUGCACGUGACAAUAUUUUUUGGUGGACAUGUUAUUUUGGGAAAAGUUGAAAACCUGCAUAUUUCCUAGUGGUUGAGACUUCUUCUCCAAUGUCUUAAAUCCGCUAAGAAUGAGGAAAUAUAACUAUCUUCUAGCACACCCUCAGAAAACAUAUGUAUCUAUCUUUACAACCGCCAAGGGUGUAUGAUUAUGAACUAGUCUUUGGCUAGAGGACUACCAAUACUAAUGGUGAGUCAGUCACAUAUGAUAAUACCAAUAUAUAUUCUAAUUUUUUGUGUUGGCUUAGAUGGCUCAAAUAAACCAACCCUUAGAUAUCCAAAUACCUAAUACCUAUCUGGUAUUGGAGAAAUUUCAAACAUGUGAAUGGGUUAUAUGGAUGUAAAGAAGCAAGUAUAUUUGUUCACAAAGAAUAUACUAGUCGUGGUAUCUCUUAUCCUCGAGAAAACUACCGAAUCUAAUUGCUUUCGUGACGGGGGGAUUGCCUCAUGACUAUCAUUCCCAUCUUAUAUCUAUUAAGUAUUAACACGCUUCACAAGUUCAUCCAAGAGACCAAAUAUAUCAAAGCGAAUAUGUGUGAUAAAACAGAUUCAUCUUCUUAAAAGUUAUUGUAAUGGCAAAGGAAAGAGUUACAUGUGAACAUUCUUUGGUGGCCACAUUGUAAUUCUUUUUAAAAAAAGGUGUUUGGUUUAGUAAUUUUUCUUGUUGUUACUAUUCGGAGAAUUGGGUCAGAAAAGACGUAAAUGACCGAGAGAACAACAUUUGAUGUAUUUUAGAUAUGGUUAAAGUGGUUGUAUAGUUGAUGUUGGGGAUUGCCUCAUGACCAUCGUUCUCCUCUUAUAUAUUAUUAAGUAUUAACACGUUUCACAAGUUCCUCCAAGAGAUCAAAUAUAUCAAGGCAAAUAUGUGUGAUAAAACCGUUUCAUCUUCUUAAAAGUUAUUGUAGUGGUAAAGGAAAGAGUCACAGUUGAACAUUCCUUGGUGUCCAUAUUGUAAUUCUUUUAAAAAAAUGUGUUUGGCGUAGUAAUGUUUCUUAUUGUUACUAUUUGGAGAAUUUGGUCAGAAAAGACGUAAAUGCCCAAAUAUAAAACAACAUUUGACGUAUUUUAGAUGUGGUUAAAGUGGUUGUACACUUGAUAUUGGGGAUUGAUGUUCAAAACAAUAAUAUAUUAAACAAACAACAGAAGCAAUAAUAUAUUUUAAAAUUUUCAAUCUCCAAAGCAAUAGAUCGAUUUUGAACUAAUCAAAUCAAUAACAUUCAACCAUAAGUGUUCUAGAUUAUUAAAUUAAUAAUGGCUACUAAUAAUGGAUACUAACUGUGAAUUAAGACAAUCUUAAUGGUUGAUCCAAACAGAGUAGUAAAUACGAGCCGCUAGAAUUCCAUUAUUAGUAUCCAUAAUAAAAAGUUUCAUUUUUAACUAAAGAGAAAUUAUUGUUUUCAAUCAAACCUAAGUCAUAAGAACCCAAGAUCAAGUACAAAUGUUCCAAAAUCAAAUGUAUCAUAACAUCUCCAAAAUAUAUCACCAAAGGAUGUGUAUGAUAACCUCCUUGCUUUCCUCCGAUCAUCUGAAGUACCUGAAAUAUAAAACUUAAAUUAUAAGCCAAAACAUAGUGAGUUCCCCUAAAGUACAACACAACCAAUACAGAUAACAACAUGAAUAUACGAGUUUUCAGCUUAACUGGACCGCCUCGCAGGGCCUACAACCUAUCUGGACCGUUCUUCGGGCCUUCGGCCUGACUGGACCGCCUCGCAGGCCUUUAGUCUAUCUAGACUACACCGGGUAUCUUGGCCUUCAGCACAAAGCAUGACCACAUCAACCCAACAAACCAUAACAUCUCGACAUAUAUAAUAAUAAUCAAUAACCAACAACACAAGUAAUCAUACAGAUCUACCAAUCUAAUGCACACUCAAUGAACACAUGUAAUCAUAUAGAUCUACCAUGCUAACACAUACUCAACAUAACAUCAAUCCAAUAUACCAAGAUACGUAAUCCAGUGAGCCGACAUUGGUGCCUUCGACCCACAAGUAUUGUAAAGAAAACUCACCCCACAGUCUGAAAGGAUAGCUUAACAGAUCACAACUCCAACUGUUGACUCUACAUGUCACCUAUACAACAAACAAUGAUCUAGUCUCAAACUACAAUUUAAAAUACCUAAAAUACCCUUCGGUUAAACUUGGUUAAAAUCCUAGUUAAAGUCAAGGUCAAAAAGUCAAAGAUUCCUUUUGGAUUGUGUACGCCCUGCAUACACACUCUACGCCUAGUAUAUAGGGUGCCCUUCCAAAACACGUGUUCGAACCCUCGUACGCGCAGCGUACCUCCAGGUACGUCCAACGUACCAGAGCUAAAUCCCAACUUUUCCAUUAAGUUCUUAUUUCGUUAAGCCAAAGCACCAAACUUCAGAUCUAAUUUAAAAGGGACGUCCUAAUGGAUAAAGUCUCUGACUUUAUCCGUUUGCAUGCAUACAAGAGGGUAAAAAGUCAAACCCUUGGUCUAAAAGUCAUCCAAAGUCCAAAUACACUUGCAUAGCUCAAAUAAGAGUGUCCAAGCUCUCAUUUUUAUGAAUCUAUGAGCUCAAAGCUAUAGGAAACUACAUUUUAAGGACCUAGAGUAGCUCAUACUCUAUUAGACUAAACUAUGAGACCAAAAAUGCAUACAAACUCUAGACUAACAAGAUCUAAGCAAAUAACACAUCAAGAUCCAAGCUUAUACCUUCAAAUGAUGCUUGAGGACAAGAUAAUUCUAGAUCCAAGAUGCCUUGAGCUUCCAAGUUGAUUCCACUUUUUUCUUCUUCCUUCAAGAUCACCAAAAGCGUACUUUCAAGCUCAAUGAUAGUUUCAUUUUAUUUACUUCUUUUUAUAGUUUAUUUUAACAAAUUUCAUUCAUAAUUUGUUUAAUUUGCAUGCAUAUUUUCCUUCUUGUUAUUUUAUGACCAUUUCGGGUACUUUCUAGUUUCGUGAGCAUAAUUGCAGAUUUUUUGGAGACUAGAGGAGCGGGAUCUUUGGGAGGCGACUGGACUUGGUAGACAAUAAAGAUUUUUGGGCUUAAUAUCUAAUGGAGGUGAUACCAUUUUGGAGCAUUGAAGAAGAUUGUCUCUUAAUUAAACGAAGAUGGAAGAAUUUUUCAAGCGUGCGAGAAUUAAUGAUCGGACGAUUUCGAGAGCUUUGGAGGAUUUGGAAAAAGGCAAAUUGGGCUCAAAUUGAAGAAAACUUGAAGAAAAACGGGCUAGAAGCUGAUCGGACUCAAACUGGGCUAGUGGACUAAGCAGUGCAGACCCAACAAAUGGAAAAGGCCCAUUUUCCAUCAGUUCACGUGACCCGAGUAAGAUUUCCACACGGCCCGCGUGAGUUCAUACAUGGACAAAUUCGUGAUUUUACUUUUGGCUUCUAUAUGAAGAAGUUUGGUGGGAUUCUUUUGGAACUCUUGGACAUUCGAAAACUCAUCAAUUCUUUGGAGAUUUUGGAGCACUUUGAAGGCCAAGAACCCUCAAGAACUUCAUUAUUUUUGCUCUUAAUCUUGUUGAAUGUUUGGUACAAUCUCUUCUAACUUUAUUUUCUUGUGUUUAGCCAUGUUAGGCUAAACCAAAUUUGGUUGACUUUGGUGAAAUCCUUUGACUAGUUGAAUAUUGAAGACUCCAUAAACUUGCUCUUGAAUCUUUAUAGGAAUGUUUUGUGUUUUAACAUAUUAUCACUACUUAUAUGUUUUUAUUCAUGAGUUUAAAUGUAUUUGUGGUGAUUAGUUGACUAAUUUCUUGAUUAAGUAAAAGAUCCUCAACAUAGCAAGCAACAAAUGAUUUUGUGUUAGUUUUACUUCACACAAUCAUAAAAACAUUUUCUCCAACAUGGUAGUGAAAACAUUUGAUUCCUUUUAAAUUUGUUGACUUUUUGGUUCUUAAUGCUAGUUGAUUUUCACUAAUUACAUGCUUAAUGGAAAUUGUGACUUUGACUAAGGAAAUUGUUAUGAGCUUCUCUAACCAUUUUAAUAACUAAGAAAAGUCUAGGUAAUCUCAAGCUUCUUAGAUUAUUAUAGCCAAAUUAAGGAUUUAAAACAAGUAUUGCACCAUUGGAUUCUAAUGAUAUGUUCAUCAAAAAGUCAAAGUGAGGAAACCUUAAGUCAACCAUCUUUCUCUUAUUGAUUAUACAUCAAGUUGUUAUUUUGUUGAAUUAUUUAUUUAAGUUUUAGUUUAAUUCUAGUUUUAAUUUAAGUGUUUCAAAAAGAUCAAACCCCCCCCCCCCUUUUUAUUUUUACUGUCAUUUUACAAGUACUUUUACAAAGUGAUUUUUCAUUGAAUAACAAAUUGAACCAGUCUCCGUGGAUUCGACCCCUUUACCAAUAUGCACUAUUUUAGUGUAAAAGAUUUAGGGUUAUUAAUUUUGUUGGCCUCAACAGCUAUCAAAUUUUGGCGCCGUUGCUAGGGAUUGGUUUUGAUAUAAUCAGUUUGUUUAUCUAUGACUAGAUCUCAUUGUGCAGGUACUCUAAUUUAAAACCCCAAAAUAAAAGAAAAAGUAUGGUUUGGAAAUGAACACUCUUUGCAUUGAAUACCAACUUUCUGAGAUAGCUCAGUUAGUUAUGAUGAUUAGAAGUGACCAAAGUGUGCAACCCACAACUCUUCCUUGCAAUAAUUUCGCCCAAAAUGGAGAUCAUUCUAAUAUGUGUCCAUAUUCACAACGAGAAUGGGAAGAAGUGCAAGAAAGAGGAAGCUACUGCUGGUCAAACCAAUGGAGUUAUGAUCAACCUCAACAUGAUCAAUGGUGGGACAACGACCAAGCUUGGGGAUACAACCAAUAACAAAGUCCAUACCAAGAUUGGAGAAGUGACCAAUACCAACCAACUCUACAAUUCCAACAUCCAUAUCCUCCACCUCCUCUACAACCUGAAAUUCCAAGUAUGUACUUUGAGGACAUUGUGAAAACUGAAAAGCAUUGCGACAUCUACCCAAAAUUUCCAAGAAACAGCCCAAGCUAGCCUCAAAAGCUUAGAGCAACAAAUAACAAAACUUGGUCAAUCAAUAAGUAUAAUGGAAGCUCAAGACAAACUACCACACGAAGGGAGACCAUGGCAUAGCGCAUGUGUCAUUCCUUUCAAAGAUGAGAAAAGUUUUGAUGGCCCAAGAGUGUUAUAUUGAGAAGAGGAAGGAGUAAGUGGAGGAGGCUGUCAAGAAGGAAGAACAAAUUGAGAAAUAUGUCAAUGAAACUAUAGAGGACAUGUUAGGGGUUAACGAAAGUGAGUUUGAGCCACCCACUACCAUUAAGAAACUAACUCCAGUGGUAGACCAACCACAAGAGUCGAAAACGAUAAAUUUGUCGGACCCUUUAAAUGAUACAUAUCCCGAGAAAGAAGACGCCCAACCGGUCACCAACUCGACCACCAUGUCAAAGAUGAAAGAGUUGGUCACCUUACUAAAUAAGUACAAGAAAGAAUAUGGUUGAAUGAUUGCUAUUAUCAAAGGUCUAAGUCCAGUAUGGUUCUCCCAUGAAAAGAAAGUCAAAUACAAGAAAAGAGUCCCAAUGGAGGUAUGGAAACUAAAAAAUGUCGACACGGGGCACGUUUUCAAGGUUAAUGGACAUCGGUUGAAGCCUUUUUAUGGAGGUUUUGAUGUAAAUUUCCAAUUCAUCAUCCGUUUGGACACCCCAACAUAUUGAAGAAAAGAUUGGAGGAAGUCUCGCCAAGGACGUUAAAGAAAGGCAUUUUUGGGAAGUAUUGUGCUUUCGUCUUUUAUAAACCGAAUAAAAUGAUUUUGAAAAUGUUUUUUGUUUUGAAAGUGUUCAUUUUUGAAAAAAUUCAAGCUUUAUUCUCACCUUUGGUUCAAACUUUUGUUGUGUUUUUCAAACCGGGACUUUACGAGAAUCAUUUUGGCCAAAAAUGAGGUUUUUGGAAAAUUUCAAAUUUUGAAGUGUAGGAAGUCAAGCGGCCAGCGUGCGGGUUCCACGCGGCCCGCGUAAGGUCAUUUGCGGCUUAUGUGUGGCCCACUCCUUGUCCGCAUAGAAGAAUUACCUCCAACCCUGUUCAGCACAUGCGGCCAGCGUGCGGGUUCCAUGCGGCAUGCAUGACUGGUUUCAACACUUAGUAUUUUUUUGAGCUUCAGUUCAUGCGACCUCUACGUAGCCAUUGUGCGGCCCGCGUGGUUCAACCCAAAAUUCUUCUGAACCUUCUGUGGACUCGAGAGAAAAGAAAGAAUGUUACACGCGGCCUCUACGUGACUCAUGUCCUACCCGCACGUAACAUGUUGACUGGUCUUUAAGUGUGUUGACAUCCAUUGACCAAUGUUGACUUAUGUUGACAUGAGGAUUAAAUGCAACAUUUCUCCUUCCCUACAUCUUCUUUUCCCUCUCAAGAACACCCACCUCCAUUGAAGCCCCACACAAAAACUCGAUUUCCCGAAGAUCUACCCGCCGGAAUCCCCCGACCCUCCGAUUUAGGUCAUUUCUUCCCUUUCCUUAAGCAUUGAGGAUAAUGCUUGUUCUUAAGUUUGGGAUGGGGCAUUUCCCAUUUUCUUUUAUUUUUUUUCAUGCAUUUUUAGUUAGGUUGCAUAUCAUUUUAGUUUUAGGUUAAUUUGCAUUCAUUUUUUAUUUUUUAUAAAAUUCCAAAAAGAUUUUAUUUUCUUCUUUUCCGCUUUUUACUUUUGCAUAACAUCCCUUGGAUGUCAUGGAACAUGUUCAUAGUUAUUGUAUCAUUAUUGGUCCAUGAUCUUGUUGUUAUCUCACACAUCUAAUCAGGACCAUUAGCUGCAGUUUGGGACUUCAUACUUGGGAUCAACUACUAGAGCUUAAAGGGGUAAUUGAUCAUGGCCAGGUAGUUUCAUGAAGAAUUAUGCAUGCAAUACUAACAACUGUAUGAUAUACUAUAGCAAUGGAUGUUCUUAGCCCUGCGAUCUAUACCGCUGAGAGGAUCACACUUGAUCAUGUUUGAACCGUUAGGAUGAAGCACUGGUGCUUGUCCCCUAGUAGAAUCCAUAUCCGGUCUCUUUACAUCACCGUUUUUUUGUGAUUUUCUUAGGAUUCUAGAGAGUCUUUUAGUCCACAAUUGGACAUUUUCAUAUUUUUUUGGGAAAUCACAAGUUUGAAAAGGAGCUUACAUCUUUAUGCUCCACACAUGGUCAUUUUCACAACUUAGACCAUUUAGAUUACUAUUAUUACCCUUCGAUUCCACUUACAUACUUUUGGGAACCAAAUUUUGAGUCAAAAAUUUUCUUGAUAAAAAGCAAAAAUUAAAUACGUUAGUGCAUUUCUAAAAAGAAAAAAAAAAUUCAAGCUGCAAUUAUCUUAGAUAGGUGACCGGUUCAAUUAUUAAACAAAUUUUCCCACAUUUUGGUCACCCGACGUUUGAUAUUCAUUUAUAUAGGUUUGUUUUAUUGUAUAUAGAUUGAGUUGUUUCUUUUCGCAAAUUAGUGAUUGUCAUAGCUAUGAAUUUGAAGCCUUGUAAACAUUUAACAAUGAUAACAAAUGUAAACCAACAAUGGGAAAGCAUGUAAGAUGCUUAUUCAUUAACAACCAAAUCUCAAUCAAACACAUCAUACAUGCACUGUAAAUAGUCAACAAAUAAUUGGGAACCCUAGAAAUCCUUGUUUAAGUCCAUUUUGGACUAGGAUUUCCUUAUUGGGCCCAAUGGGCCAAUAAGCUACCAAUUGGACUAUCUUGGGCUUAGAACUCUUGAAUGGGCUCUAAUUAGACCCACUUUCAUUUAUUUUAAUAUUUUGGGCCAUAUUGGGCCUAGAAUGAAACAAAAAUAUUUAAAUGGACCGUAUUGGGCCUUAAUUAACCUAAUUUAGCUCUAAUAGGUCAUAAAAAAUCAUAUUUAUAUUUAUUUGGGCCAAACAUCACUCAACAUAACCAUGAAAUGGGCUUAAGCAUACAAGGCCCAAUCCUUUUCUUUUCCCCUCUCCAUUCUCGGCCCAAGCCCAACCAAAGAAGGAGAGUUGACUUUUCCUAUGCCACCUCACAUUUAUCCAUAGGUUUCCCAUGCACCAUCUCAUGUUUUCAUGCAAAUCAACUCAAAAACCUCUUUCUUCUCCUCUCUCUUUUGCUCUCGGCCGAACUUAAGCACACACACACAUUUCACUCACAAUUCUCUCAAGAAAACUCUCUCCACUCAUCUCCAUAUUUUCGAGAUUACGGAAGCUUUCAAGGAGAUUUAACCCAUGAACACAUCAUCUAAGGUAAGUUGAUGUUAGAUCCAUAAUCUAGCUAUUUCCUUUCAUUCAAGAAUCAUCUCUUAAUUCAUUCAAACUCAUGAUCUUGCACCUUAGAAGCAUCUAAGUUCGAGAUCCUCCAAGAAAGGUUGCUAGGAUCGAAUUUUUCUUCAUCUUCUCCAUCAAAAACUAAAACCACACUCAAGGUGAGUUUCAAACCCCUUCCUUUUUGGUUUUUAUGAGUUUUAUGGGGGAUAAUAUAAGUAAAUGUGUAGAUCUAUGUGUAAAUGUAUGCUAUGUGAGAUUUGAUGCAUGUAUGUGUGUGAUAUCAUGUGUUUUGUGAUGAAUAUGUUAUCAAAAAGUGUGUAAAAACCGAGAUCUAAGGCAUGAGAAAGGAAAUAAACAUAACUUAAGUUAUUAUACACUGAUCAAGUCAAUAAAAAUAGUUUAUGAGGUUAGGAUGAACACAUCCUAACAUAAAACACAUUUUAGGACUUAAAAUGUCAAAAAUACAAAACUUAGGGUACAAACCGACAAAUUUAUAGUUUCUGGAGGGUCAAAAGGUUCCAAACAGUUUCUAUAAUAAUUUUUCUGAACAACAACAUUUGUAAGGGACUUAAAGUGUAAAUUUUGAACUUAAUGGGCUAGAUUUGGGCUUUUCGGCCCAAUAAGCCUCAAAAUGCGAGAUUUAUAAGUUUGAGGGGCUCAAAAUGCAAUUUUCUGUAAAACAGGGGAUUUGAAGUGAGAUAAAACUAUUUCAAAUGUCAAAAAUGCUUUUCUAAUUCAAAAAGGAUAAAAAAUGUAAACAUAUUCUAUUUUGGGCCAAAACUGUAAAAGUUGCAAAAUUGGGGAUUUUAACCGAGAAGACUUCAUUAUGGAAGGGCUAAAGCUGUUUACAAAAUAAAUUUUGGGUUAAAAAUGUCUUUUCAACAAGUUUAUGAUACAAAAGUGUCAAAAAAAAUGUUUUAAGGACUAAAAAUGAAAUUCUUUUAUAUAAAGGACUAAAAGUGUUAUUUUUAUAAAAGAAAGGUUGUGAAAUGGUAAAAAUCUUACUUUUAAACAAAUUAAUUCAUUAAGACAAAAUACAAGAUCCACGACUACCGACGAAACAGAAAAACAAAUACACUCUCAACAACAAAUAUCGUUACAAAACGAAUUGAUUCGGUCUCGAAUCAAUAACAAAACAAAAAUCAAUAACCCAAGUAAUUCGUUAAACACGCGACAACUAUGAUGAGUCAACAUACAAACUUUGGGCUUGAAAGUUUCAAAUCGUGCUUGUUGGGCCUUGCUAGCCCAAUAAUAGGAUCUUUGGGCCCGAAGGGAACGCACUUACGUGUUAAUGGGCCUCCUAUGACCCAAUUCCAUGUAAAAGGACUUUCAAUAGCUCUAUUGUGCUAUUGGGCCCUAGGGGUCCAUUAGUACUGCUAGUGAGGUCGAGAAGUCAAAUGCGAGUUGGGCCAAGUGUCUUUCGCAUUCCUGAUAGCCCGGAAUAACUCAUGGAAGUAAGAGAGGGCUUCGUACCCUCCUUUCUCCUCGGUUGACCGACUUAUGAGAAUUCAAGUAAACAGAUUCGUGGCGUUAAUCAAGAGAAGUCAGGGUGGUUGGAUUAUGUGAGUAGUACGGACGACGCCUUAAGGAUCGUUCGUAACCUGUAGUUAUAAACUAGUCAUUUUCAUUAAUGCGUGAUUGUAACAACUCACAAACCCUAAUUAAUCCAAUGUCACCUGGGUAAUCAAAAACAUUCGUCGUAUCGGUAUAACAAUAAACAAGUCAUGUAAUUUACGUAUUGGGAAAACAUCGGGUUUUCCCGGGAAGUUCAACAUUUUCACCUAUGUGAUGUAUACAAAGUUCAACAAUUAUACAUGUUUUCAAAAUCGACAAGCAUAUUUACGGAUCUUCACACUUUUUAUAAACAAAUACUCUUUUCAGAAAAUAUCGGAUUUUCUGGGUUUUUCAAACUUCACAAAAAUCAUUUUUCCAUAACAUUACUUAUGAACUCACCAACAUUUCAUAUGUUGACGUUUUUCCAAAAUAACUUGUAUUCUCAGGUAACAGGUAAGCCGAAGAAUAAGUAUCAGGAAAUGUCAUGGUGUUUUGCUUAAAUUAUCUAUCAGACAGUUUAUGUUAUGGAAUUGUAAUACAGUUUAUGUUAUGGAAUUGUAAUGUCUAAGACAAUGUACCGAAUGUAAACAAUAUCAGUUGUAAUAUUCCAAUGCAUGGUGUUGAAUUAUGUUAUGAUUCAUGUAUAUUCAUUGUGAUGGUAUUCAAUUCGAGUCACAAGAGCCCUCGGACGUUUCCGCCGUCCGGUUCGGGGGUGUGAUAGUGAUGUUAGAGAGACUGUCGAGUCAGAUACUACGGGAGGUUUGGGCCAAUACUAAGUGAACUGAUUCCUACAACGGUGCCCGAGCGAUGAAACCCAAUCACACUUGAGAGUGGCCGACAAACGUGAGAUCAUGAAACUUUCGCGAUAAGAGUGUACACUUAAAAUAAAGAGCUCCAUACGAGCCCGUCCACUUGCUUUCUCCCUACUACAAAUGUUCUUCAUUGUAUGCAUGUUUCAUUGGGGCUGCGACUGACCAUCCGUCCUUACUCACCUAGAGGAGUUGUUCUGGCUGUGGUUUAUGAUUCCAUUGUCAUUGGAGGAAAAAUUCGUGAGAUAAUAGCAAGAUCAAUUCUGACCAUGUUGACAAACGGCGAUCAAGUUCCGCGAUUCUAUCUAUUCUUUUUAUUUUUCUUAGGAUAGUUCAUCCUAAGUUCAUUUUAGUCUUGUCUUACUUGAGGACAAGUAAGGUUUAAGCUUGGGGUGAUUUGAUAGUUUCAUUUUAUUUACUUAAUUUUUAUAGUUUAUUUUAGCAUAUUUCAUUCAUAAUUUGGUUAAUUUUCAUGCAUAUUUUCCUUUUUGUUAUUUUAUGACCAUUUCGGGUGAUUUCUAGUUUCGUGAGCAUAAUUGCAGAUUUUUUGGAGACUAGCGGAGCAGGAUCUUUGGGAGGCGAUUGAACUUGGUGAACAAUAAAGACUUGUGGGCUUAAUAUCUAGUGGAGGUGAUAUAUAAAAUGAGCUUUAGAUGGAUGGAGCAUGGAAGAAGAUUGUCUCUUAAAUAAACAAAGAUGGAAGAAUUUUUCAAGCGUGCAAGAAUUAAUAAUCAGGCGAUUUCGAGAGCUUUGGAGGAUUUGGAAAAAGGCAAAUUAGGCUCAAAAUGAAGAAAACUUGAAGAAAAAAGGGCUAGAAGCUGAUGACUCAAACUGGGCUAGUGGACUAAGCAGUGCAGACCCAACAAAUGGAAAAGGCCCAUUCUUCGUCAGUUCACGCGGCUCGUGUGAGUUCUUGCAAGGGAAAAUUCGUGAUUUUACUUUUGGAUUCUAUUUGAAGAAGUUUGGUGGGAUUCUUUUGGAACUAUUGGACAUCCAAAAACUCAUCAAUUCUCUGGAGAUUUUGGAGCACUUUGAAGGCUAAGAACCCUUAAGAACUUCAUCAUUUUUGCUCUUAAUCUUGUUGAAUGUUUGGUACAAUCUUUUCUAACUUUAUUUUCUUGUGUUUAGCCAUGUUAGGCUAAACCAAAUUUGGUUGAAUUGGUGAAAUCCUUUGACUAGUUGUUGAAUAUUGAAGACUCCAUAAACUUGCUCUUGAAUCUUUAUAGGAAUGUUUUGUGUUUUAACAUAUUAUCACUACUUAUAUGCUUUUAUUCAUGAGUUUAAAUGUGUUUGUGGUGAUUAGUUGGCUAAUUUCUUGAUUAAGUAAAAGAUCCUAAAAUUAGAAAACAACAAAUGAUUUUUGUGUUAGUUUUACUUCACACAAUCAUAAAAACAUUUUCUCCAACAUGGUAGUGAAAGCAUUUGACUCCUCUUAGAUUUGGUGACUUUUUGGUUCUUAAUGCUAGUUGAUUUUCACUAAUUACAUGCUUAAUGGAAAUUGUGACUUUGACUAAGGAAAUUAUUAUGAGCUUCUCUAACCAUUUUAAUAACUAAGAAAAGUCUAUGUAAUCUCAAGUUUCUUUGAUUAUUAUAGCCAAAUUAAGGAUUUAAAACAAGUAUUGCACCAUUGGAUUCUAAUGAUAUGUCCAUCAAAAAGUCAAAGUGAGGAAACCUUAAUUCAACCAUCUUUCUUUUAUUGAUUAUACAUCAAAUUGAUAUUUUGUUGAAUAGUUUAUUUUAGUUUUAGUUUAAUUCUAGUUUUAAUUGAAGUGUUUCGAAAAGAUCAAAACCCCCAUUUUUAUUUUUAUUGUCAUUUUACAAGUACUUUUACAAAGAGAUUUUUCAUUGAGUAACAAAUUGAACCAAUCUCCAUGGAUUUGACCCUUUUACCACUAUACAUUAUUUUAGUGUAAAAGAUUUAGGGUUAUUAAUUUUGUUGGCCUCGACAACCAUCACUUAAAAUGCUCACAUAAUGGAUUAGGGUUAGCAAGGGACGAUUUGGGAGAUGGAGGCUGGUGAGGGACAUGAUCAUGAGAAGUUAAUGAGGUUUAAAUAGUGCUCAAACCCUAAAAAUUAGGGUUUAGACAUUCAUCAUGUACACCCGGUGUACGCUGGAAUACGCCCAACGUACACACUCAAACCCGCGUUCUCAUGUAGGGACCAAAUUGCAAUAAAAUUCUACUUUGGGUCAAGAUUGAAAAUUACCUGAAUAACGAAAAUUACAAUUCUCCCCCACUUAAAUUAGAUUUCGUCCUCGAAAUCGCUCCCUAUUACACCCUAGGCCAUUCGGACAAGCCUUCCAGAAUCCCGAUCCGAACUAAGAAGUCGACUCACAUACCCUGACUAAUAAUGAAUCCUUAACCCACUAACUUUAACCAAAGAAGAAUAACCAUCAUACCUCUGCCAAAAAUCCGGAAAUCAAAUACCUUGUCGAACUCCCAAGAAGACAAAACCAUCUUAGAACAUAGUUAAUAUGACUUCACUUCGCAACCCGAAUCAUACGAAACCCUUCCGGCCACGAAUUAUCUUGCUGAUGUAACUAGAAAACACAAUCUCUAACUAUUCACUGUUGUUGAACCCUCCACUCGAAAACAAGGCGAUUCCUAACACGAGUCUCAACUAAAUAACCAUUGUGGUGAAACAGAAACAACGCCAACAUAUUCCACAAACUCCCUUUAAUCACUUCAAAAUCAAGACAUCUUAUAAAGAAAACUUGAGAGACCACUUGGAAACCCACCAGUGCCAACAAACAACCCAAUAUAGCUUGAGAAUAUUCAAUCGCAACAGCUAUCCUUCUCUCCUUAACUAUAAAACCCAACUUUUGGUGAGAAAAACAUAGUCGGGGACUCUCAAAACUACAAACACAACCUAAUUUCAUCAAUAUACUUACCGGAAUCGGGAAGCCAUUAGUUCUAAACUUCAGAAGCAAUAAUCUAAGACUGAUGAUCACCCAUUCGUCGUACCUAAUCCUAGUCCAUAAUUAGUAAAACCACCAAAACAUGCAGAAAGAAUACUCAAAACACACUGAUCGUGAAUUCCAUCCAUUCCCAAAUCCGGGAAUUAUGCCAAAAAAUCUUAAAUACACACUUGACUUCCUGACAAGUCAUCACCAACCCACUGCUCUCAUAAGCAUAAUGAUGGUCUGCCCAAAAAUUUCACCUUGAAUUCAAAUCCCUUAUCCACUCAGGUGUACAUGCCCCUGACAAAUCACUCGAGAAAUUUACAAAAAACUUCAUGACUCGAGCUUCCAUAAUCGAUACCCAACAUUGGUAACCAAACUCCAGAUAAACAACCCACAAGCAAAAGGGGUUCAUAAUGCAACACCCUGCAAGGGAGUUUUGAUGCACAAACAUUGCUCCUAAUAACCUUAAACUACCCACAUGAUCCAAACCAGCUGGUCACUGAGUCUCUCGACUCCCAUAAUGCACUAACACCCAAACAUGCCAAGAAGACUAACAAUCUGACACCUAAGAGUCUCAAUCAAAUGACUGUCGGGCUCUACCCAUAUGAAUUAUACAACCACUGGUUCACAAUACAUCGUGACACCCUUAAGCCACUAAACGAUAAGCUCAUAGUACUAUGUCGAUCUUGCUGUCAUCCCAUCAUUGUACCCAUGUCGAGGAUUUGGAUGAAGAAUAUCUUGAGGGAACGACAUAGUUUCUUGUGGGCAGGAAGAAUCCAAAACAGGUCAGGUAGUAAGUGUGGAGCAAGCUACCAUUAGGCCAAUGUGUCCUUGACCGACUGAUCAGGUGAUGUAGAUAAGAUAUUGAUUGAUUAAGGAUUAAUUGGGAAGGCCAAUUAACAUGGUAUUAUCCUAACACAACGAAAGAGCCGGUUCUGGUUGCGAUAGGGUUCAAGGUUCAAGCAAGGAAUAAUGUUCUUUGGGCAGUGGUAAGCAGUAGAGAAAAUGAUAUGGAUUCAUGGUUUGGUUCAGGUUGAGGGUUGUGUUAGGACCUCUCUACUUGUUCUUUUCUGAUGAAGGCUUUGGGGUUUGAAUCAUGACCCAAACACCUGCUAUAGUCCAGUGCUAUAGUCCAGCAGGGAGGGGUUCCGAUUCGCAGUGAUUUUGGUUAAGCGUUCUUGCGUGUAGUUAGUAAGACCAUAGUCUGGGCCCAUGGCGAUUGUUAAAGCGAUGUAAGACUGUGGAGCAGUCGUAGCAUUCACUAGGUUAGUACACAAUUGUGGAAGUGAUGUAAGACAAUGGAGCAUCCGUAGCAUUCACUGGGUUAGUAUGCGGUUGUAUAAGUGAUGUAAGAUUGUGGAGCAGCUGUAACAUUCACUAGGUUAGUAGGCGGUUGUGUCAGGGGUGGAAGUCUACUACUUGGCUCGAAGCAUUCUCUAAGAUGAUUUAGAUUAUCGUAGGAUUGGGUGAAGGGUUGUGAGUAGGCCACAUCAUUUGUAAUACUUGGGUAGAUCGUAUACUGGGUUGGGGCCGAAUGUGAUGUGAGAAUACAGUUUGGUUUGUAGCAAUCACUAGAGUGAAGCAUACUUGGUGAUCGUUCGUAUGUUGGCUGGUUGAGUUGCCUUUUAAUUGGAAUAAAUUAUUGUUAGAGUCGUAAUGGUAGAUGGGUUAGGACAACCUUUAUCGGUUUGACUCUUAAAGCUGGAAGUCAGUUUGGUGUUCGAAGUAGGAUUUCUAGCAUAGGUGGAUGGUCAGGGUUUAUGUUUUCCCAGAUAUCAGUGAAGUAGUUCAAAUCGGAUAGGUUUGUUUAAUUUGGUUUGCAAAGUUGAGUCAGGGGGGCGAUUUGGAAUGGUUGAAUCUGUUUGGAAGUAAGACAUUACAUAAGGUUUCCAGCUUCCAGGAAGAACGAUUAUUUAUUCUUUUAUUGUCUGAGGGUAGAAUAUUAAGGUUCGUUCUUGGUUAGGGUAUGCGAUUCUAUUGAGGUUGGGUUUUGCUAACAGUGUUGGUGAUCGGUCUUCGAUGUGAGAUGAUUGCUUAGCCUCAAUUAGAAGUUGGUUGGGAUAUGGCAUGAUAAGUAGUAAGGAAUGAUUUUAGGGACAAAAUCCAAUUUAAGUCGGGGAGAGUUGUAACAUCCUGUUUGAGGAUAUUUCUUAAUUCGGGAUUUGAGGACCAUAAUGCGAUCAUGUAAAGUCCUUGGACUUCAUUGGAAUGGAUUUUAGGCUCUAUUGGAGGUGUAUGAAGAUGACAAGUAACUUAAACCUUGGAUUGCUUGAUGAAAGUUGAAGGGUAAAAUGGGAAAAAUUGUGCUUCAGGCUUCAUGCAUAUAUUAAGGAUUUUAGUUCGAGAUGUUUUUAGUCAUAUGUAUCAAGAUAGAAUCGAAUAUCUCGUGAUACCUUUGUGAGGAUAUAAAGAUCUUCGAAACGGAGUUGGAACAAAGAAGUUAUGGUUAUUUGAAGUUAAGCCGGAAAAAUAGAGUCUGACAGUACGAUGGGCGUACAAUAGGAGUACGUUGGGCGUACUAGGCUGAGGAAGUCGCGUUUUUAGGGCGUUACGUUGAGCGUAACUUUAGGUACGCUGGGCGUACCACCAUAGAGUAAAAAUCCUAUUUUCAUGGUUUUGAUCUGUCACACCCCAAAACCAAGAACGACGGAAACGUUGUGGGGCGGAGGACAUCAUGUAUAGUAUCAUAACAAUGCAAAGCAGUAAACAAGAAAAAACAUCAUCCACUUCAUUAAUAGUAGAGUUUUAAUACAUGUAUGUUCUUUGUAAUUUAAUAGACACCAAAAAUGAAUGAUCAAAAUAAAAUACGAGUCUUGAAUGUGCUCCGUCUUCUCAAAACCUGUCACCAGUACCUGUCUACUGAUGACCUGAGAAUACAAGUUAUUUUGAAAGCGUAGAUCAGCAUUUAAGCUGGUGAAUUCAUAAGUACUUUAGUGUCAUUUAUUUGCAUAAUUUUGAUGUAAAUACUAGUAAAUGUUCAAUGUAAAUGUUUGUAUACGUUUGAAAACCCUAGAAAAUCCCAUAUUUCCUACUAGUAUAAAAUGUAGUCUUCUACCAAGACCCGACUGUUUUGAAGAUUUGCUUCUCUUUAUGAAUGAAGGUUUUUCCUAUAUACAACUAUUAUUAUCAAAACAUAGUCUACCUCAUCAUUUAUGUGAAUGUGUCACAAAAUAAAGAUAAUGGGGAAAAUUAUAUAGUCAUUGAAAUCGUAUCCAUUUGUCUAGGAUAAACACGACGCGGUAAAUCUCCGAACAAUACAACCGAGAACAUCCGUCGAUGAAUAGGUCCCGCUGUAGCUAGCAGCCAUGUGUAGGAUGGUCAGUCCCGUAUAGUAUGUAGUAAUUCUCCUUGUAUAGUAUGUAGUAAUUCUCCUUGUAUAUUAUAUAGUAUUUUUCUCCAUAUAGUAUGUAGUAAUUCUCUUUGUAUAGGAUGUUUGUAUAGACUCAUGAAUGAACUGACUCAUGUAUGUUCCCUUAAACUAGGAAUGGUAAUUGGUAUCUCCUAAACUAUACCUAUUAUAGUUUACUAGAAUAUAGUUUGAAUGUCCAAGUAUGUUCAUACACCUUUGUUACUCAAGGGUGUUGGAACUGAAGAAGAAAUAAAGCUCUCAUAUCAAUACAUAUAUACUUGAUACAUAAGUGUAUAGAUAUGGUUUUUAACAAUAUAUAAGUUUGAAAGAGGUUUUGUAAUACAUUUAAAGGUUUUGAACAAUAAAUAAUAACGACUUGAUGUCAGUUUAUAAAAUGAUUCAAAAUUAGUUUUUUUGAUAACAAAGUUUAAAGUAACUGAAAUCCAUUGUUUGAAACACAGUUUGAAGUAUAUGAAAUCCGUUGUUUGAAAACAUGGUUAUAAAUCACAUGAGAUUGAUUCUAUAAUUAUGUGUUUUCUACUUGUAUUCCCCCCCCCCCCAAUAAAAGCAUUUAAAGUCAUUUAAAAGGAUCGAUUACGGGGUAUGAACUCACAUGGAGUGAGUGAUGCGAAUGUAAGAUCGGUAAAGGAUGCUAAGUGUCAAGUGAGGACUUGAGCACACACGGAUCCUAUUUAACAUAUAAUGACACAUAUAUGCUUACAAUUAGUGUUUAUAACAACUAGUUAUGAAAUGGAACAACCUUAGGGACUAGGAAACACUUGUAUUUAAGUGUUAAACCAUAUAGGGUUGCAUAUAAGGAGUGUAGGGCCUCUUAUUGGAGUUUAUGGCCCAUAUGGUAAUAACCACAUGAGUUUACACUCAAUGGGUAAUUUCCCAUGAGUUUACGGCCGUAAAAUCAUGGUACUAAGUACCAAGUUGUGUUAUAAGGUCCUACAUGUCAAUAUGAAGUGCUCUUUGAUCAAGUCUAAGCCUUAGGAAGGAAUGGUGGCACCAUUGCACCACUAACUAGUGUUUACGGCCCAAGGACCAUUUCUCCAUGAGUUUACGACCAUAAAAUCAUGGUAUUAUGUACCAUUUCAAUGUUUAAGGUCCUUAGUUCAUGCUAGAAGUGUUCUAGACUUGAUUCCAAGGCUUUGGAGGGGAUUAGGGCUCAUUUAGACCCUUAAAUAGAGUUUACGGCCCAAGGAGGUUCCUUGGCCGUAAAAUCCCUUUUGAUCUUGUUUUCUUGAUGAUUUCUAAGUGUAAUCUAGUUGAUUGAAGCAUAUAAGAAGCUAAGACAAGAGUACUUACAAUAUAGAAGCUUGUAAAGGUGCUUAAGGCUCAAGAACACUAGUGUGUGUUCUUGGUGAAAUGAAGAACACUUGAAUAUCUAUCAAAUGAAGAGAUUUCAUGGAUGAAAUCAUAUGCAAACACUAGAUAAUGAAGAUUAUUAACUAAUCAAGUAAGAAAACACUUACUAAGUUGAAGAUCUAGUGAAGAACUUGGAUGAUACUUGAGAGAGAAUGAGUUCUAGGCUUGAAAAUGGUAAAAAUAACUAAAAUGACUAAGCGUCAUAUUUAUACCUUAGAGUUUACGACCAUAAACUCCAUGUUAUGGUGGUAAACUCCAAACUCUUGGAGUUUUGAGACUUAAGUGUUGUACAUUUAACUCUAGAGUAUACUUCCUAUGGUUACCUCUGAUGUAUUUAAGAACAAAACACCCAAACUGACUCCAAAACUACUAAAAAUUUACAGCAGUAGGUUUGACUUUGAUUGAAUGUAGGGUUGGUUAUAAGAUAGAAAUUUCGAGUUGUCACAUGAUCCCUAUUUAAGGACUCUAACCCACCCUUUAGGAUCCUUCCUAACAUCAGCCUCCACCCUCUUGAUCCUCCAACUCGAAACCCUAGCCCCUGGAGCAAAUCUUGAGCCUUUUUAUGUGUUUUGGGUGCAGUUUGGAAGAAAGAGUCAUUGAAAUCGUAUCCAUUUGUCUAGGAUAAAAACGACGCGGUAAAUCGCCGAAUAGUACAACCGAGAACAUCCGUCGAUGAAUAGGUCCCGCUGUAGCUAGCAGCCAGGUGUAGGAUGGUCAGUCCCGUAUAGUAUGUAGUAAUUCUUCUUGUAUAGUAUAUAGUAUUUCUCUCCGUAUAGUAUGUAGUAAUUCUCUUUGUAUAGGAUGUUUGUAUAGACUCAUGAAUGAACUGACUCAUGUAUGUUCCCUUGUACUAGAAAUGGUAAUUGGUAUCUCCUAAACUAUACCUAUUAUAGUUUACUAGAAUGUAGUUUGAAUGUCCAAGUAUGUUCAUACACCUUUGUUACUCAAGGGUGUUGGAACUGGAGAAGAAAUAAAUCUCUCAUAUCAAUACAUAUAUACUUGAUACAUAAGUGUAUAGAUAUGGUUUUUAACAAUAUAUAAGUUUGAAAGAGGUUUUUUAAUACAUUUAAAGGUUUUGAACAAUAAAUAAUAAUGACUUGAUGUCAGUUUAUAAAACAAUUCAAAAUUAGUUUGUUUGAUAACAAAGUUUAAAGUAACUGAAAUCCAUUGUUUGAAACACAUUUUGAAGUAUAUGAAAUCCGUUGUUUGAAAACACGGUUAUAAAUCACAUGUGAUUGAUUCUAUAAUUAUGUGUUUUCUACUUGUAUUCCCCCCAUAAAAGCAUUUAAAUUCAUUUAAAAGGAUAGCGUAAGGGGUAUGAACUCACCUGGAGUGAGUGAUGCGAAUGUAAGAUCGAUAAAGGAUGCUAAGUGUCAAGUGAGGACUUGAGCACACACGGAUCCUAUUUAACAUAUAAUGACACAUAUAUGCUUACAAUUAGUGUUUAUAACAACUAAUUAUGAAAUGGAACAACAUUAGGGACUAGGAAAUACUUGUAUUGAAGUGUUAAACCACAUAGGGUUGCAUAUAAGGAGUGUAUGGCCUCUUAUUGGAGUUUAUGGCCCAUAUGGUAAUAACCACAUGAUUUUACGGCCAAGGGCAAAUUUUCCCAUGAGUUUACGGCCGUAAACUCAUGGUACUAAGUACCAAUUUGUGUUAUAAGGUCCUACAUGUCAAUAUGAAGUGCUCUUUGAUCAAGUCUAAGCCUUAGGAAGGAAUGGUGACACCAUUGCACCACUAACUAGUGUUUACGGCCCAAGGACCAUUUCUCCAUGAGUUUACGGCCGUAAACUCAUGGCAUUAUGUACCAUUUCAAUGUUUAAGGUCCUUAGUUCAUGUUAUAAGUGUUCUAGACUUUAUUCCAAGGCUUUGGAAGGGAUUAGGGCUCAUUUGGACCCUUAAAUAUGAUGGGUUUUAUACAAACAAUCCUAUGUAUUCAUGCAACCCUAGAGUUGGAUCUAUGUUUUCACUAUUAGUUAUACAAUUUUAUGAACACAAAAAGAAACCUGGCAUGCUAGUACUAUUUUCGAAAUCCACAUAGAAGAAUAGAAUACAUACCUUUUAUUGUUAUAUUGUAAUAACAACUAGUUCCUUGAAUCUCCUUAGCUUUGAAAGCAAUUACCACAAGUAUAGUACCUCUAAUGGCUCACAAACACACUAGGUGAAAGGAUGAAUAUGGGAGAGAGGAGAAAAGGGUAUCUUGCCCUAGAAUUCGUCCCUUUUAGGGUUUACCAAAGCUUGGACGAAAUCUUAGUGCCUUAGGGUUCUAUUUAUACUUAAGGCUAACUAGGGUUUCAAGGUGUAAACCCUAAUCCCUUAGCUUAGGGCCUAAGCAAGUCCAUGGACUCCUUUCCUUAAGCCCGUGGAUGAAAAAUCCUAGAUCCUUCUAGGAUUUUCGUUCAAGCCUUAAUAAAGGUGAUCCAAUGGCCCAAAGCCUCAACUAUUGAAUAAUUACAAAAUAGCCCCUGCACUUUCAGCCAGUUCCUUUAAUCCCAAAAUUAAUUCUAAAUUAAUUUCUGAUUAAAUACUAAUUAAUAAUAUGAUUCCAAAUUAAUAUAUUAUUCAUAUAAUAUAUUAACAAAUCAUAUUUAUACCCUAAUUUAUUAUUCUUAACAAUAAACCAGCCUCUCUCCUCAACAAUCAUCCUGUCUAGUCACCAGUGUGAAGGCAACCCAAAAGGACCAUGCACAAUCGGGUCAAGUACAUACCAAAAUAGUUAUGGACUUAGACACUAAUCCAACAGUCUCCCACUUGGAUAAGUCUAAUAACUAUUAUGCGUAUGACUUCAGAUCCUGAUCUGCAAUCGUAGCUUUCCAAAGCCGCUGUCAACUCUGAUCAUAUCAGAUACGCGUGUCCUUAGAUAAGGGAUCAUAUAUUCCUCCAUUCUAGAUAUCAUAUGAGAUAUGAUUUCAAAUCAUUCUCUUUGUACUAUAUCUCGAUUCCCGAUUUAUGACGACUGACUAAUUGAACAAAUCAAAUUAGCCCUAGCCCGGCCGAGCAUUUACGUUUGUCAUCACUAAAUCAUCGAGGGGCCCAAAGAUAUCGCUUUUAUCCUACUUUGGAUAAAAGGAACGGAUAAACUUUGAUUCAAUGCUCGCUUGCACUCACUCACCGAAUCACACACAACAAUAUGUUUUAUAACACCAAGUUACUGGUGCGUUUACAUAUUAUCAAUGUGUAACCGACUCGCAAGAUACAACUCACACAUCUCGGUUUCAAGAAUAUAAGAUAUUAUCGUCUCACCAAUCACUCGUGAUAAAAUCCAUGAAGUGAUCCAAGUGAGCGUGGGUUUAAUCCAAUGCUCAAAUCAUAUUCAUAAGCACUCAUGAACGUUGCAGCAAACAUUUGCUUAUGUCUAAUACUCUUUAGACAAUCCACACACCAAUUCACGACAGUCUUCAUUCAUACCUACUUCCAACAUAUGAACGACUGUGGCCCGUUCGAAUAAUUUGACUGUUCUUAACCAAUUUAAUUAUUCAGGAAGUCAAAACAUGCAAAGUGAAACACAAGAAUAAUACUAAUCCCAUAUGGUCCCAAACCUUUGAGUAUAAAUAAAACACCUUUUAUUUAUCACCAUAUCGAUUACUCAUUAUUUGUUGUUUCGGGUAAUCAACUUCUUACUUGAAUUAUUACUACACUUGUCCCAUGCUCUUAGCAUGCACACAAUGUUUACCUAUGGUCCUUACUUUGUGAAAUAGAUCAAAUGAACACAUUUCCAAUCAUACUCAUUUCACAACUCCCAAUCCUUAUCAUAAGUGUAAGAAUAUCAAAUUCUUGCCACUUAUAGAAUAUGCUAGAUUCUAACAUUUUAUGCAAUGAUCCUUUCGUAAAGUCAUAGCUCAAAAUCAUCAAGACUUGGCCAAUCUCUAUCAGAAACAAUUCUAUAGAUAUGAUGUCUCUCACUCAAAGUACAUUCCUUUGAACAUCCUUCUUGCAUAAAAGUUUCUAAUCUAGGCAUAGAUUCUCAAUAUCCAACUCCCAAUAUGGAAACAUUUCCAUAUUUGCCAUAUGACAACUCAUUCUUAAUAGAAUCUUAUCUAUUCAUAAUAAUGUCGAUAUGGUCCAUCCAAUACCAUACUUCCAACUACUCACAAGCGACCAAUCCUCAGUGAACUUUGGAUCGUCCUUUGAUAGUUGUUUAAUUAUUUUAGUCAAAACCGAUUCUAGUCUUUUUUCCCUCUUAAUGCGCUAGACAUUUGGAAAAUUUUAGAAUGGUCAAAUAUUAUAGCAUUUGCAAUCGAUCCUAUACCCGAAGCGUAUGGGACACGAUGCAUAAUGUCUUACAUAAAGAUAUGAUACUUUAUCAAUCUUUUGCCAUAAUAUUUUAUGUGUCACGUUCUCACAAUUCGAACUAUGAAGAGGGAUGCCAUAAUCAUAAUCGAAAUUUGGGAACACACUAUGUAUCCUUGACUAAAUUUAUUAACAUUCCACAAUCUAAGCCUUUAGAUUUGAAAUGAAGCAUAAUAUUCUCUCCCUUAAUUAUAGCAAAACAACUUUUCAACCCUUACGACUUUGCAAAGUAUAACUCUUGUUUUCUAUAAUUAAUAUUGCUAACUUGCAAUACUUGCCAUAAUAAUCAUACAAGCAUAACACUUAUGCUCCCACUAUCAUAUAAGCAUAACACUUAUGCUCCCACUAGCUUUGACAUGUAUUUAGAAAACAACUGAACUUCCAGAAAACAAUACUUAUUGAAUUUCUGAAGUUCAUAUUUCUUGUACCAAAUGCUUCGAUAAGCCUUUAUGUAAGCUUCUUAACCUUAUACACCUUUUCCUUAGAAAGCUCACAUGUGUGUAUAGACAAAUUCAGAACUUAUGUUACUAAGCCCCAAAUUUUCAUACUAAUUGCCAAAUCUCACAAUUCGAACUAUGAAGAGGGAUGUCGUAAUCAUAAUCGAAUUUGAGAAUACAAUUUACACAACUGCUAUCUCCUUAAAAUCUCUCUUAGUGAAAGCAUUUCCUCAUAAUCAUUUUCAUGAAGGAGGGAAAUCUUAUGACACUUAGAUUUUAUGGUGUAUGUGUUCCUAUCCAUGUGAAUUUUCCAAAACCAAAGUUUGCGACAAAUCCAAACUCAUAUGGACUGAACUUUCUCAAUCUUGAUUUCUUGCCUUAUGGUAACACGAGUGCCCACCAUGUCUUCCAAGUAGUUAAGCAGCUCAUCCUUUCCUACCAACAUACUUUUCAUUGAUCAAGGUGCUUGCCUUUUAUGCGUUCAAAUGAGAACUCAUAGAGCUCACAUGCAUAAUUAACUCAAUUGGAAUGGCACAGAAACAAAAUAAUGUCAACACGAUAGGUUAUAAACCUCAAGUCGUGUGCUAGUGAUGAUCAAUAAGGUUUAUUCUUGAUUAGUUCUUGAAACCUUUUUCAAGAUCAUUAAAACUCCCACUGACCUCUUGACAUACAUGAUUCUCUUGUCAUGAAACUUUCCUAGACAAAAGAAAUAUUCAAGAGUUAGUGUAGUUCUUAUCAAGAUAAAACACUUCACAUAAUUGGUCCUAGUUGGUCUUUGUCUUAUCCAAGACAACACAACUUACCAAUUUCAAAUGUGCAAAAAUAAGAAAACUUUUCCAAAUUCCACAUUUGUUGAGUGUUAUAAACCUUCUUAAGAUUUGUCACUCAAUUCACAAUCUUGGAGUAUAACUCUAAGACUUGAUAUUGGGACGAAGUAUGAUUAACUUCUUGAUUUUAACCAUUUCCAUAAUUCUCGAUUCCUCUUCUUAGACAUACAAAUGCACUAAGACUCACUUAGAGGAUCAAUUGAGAUAUGGUUCUUAAUCAUUAAGACUUAUCAUAAAACACAAUAAAAGAUACUCUCCCUUCUUCUUAGAAUGGAGAAACUUUUAUCUUUCUGCCUUCUUGAUUCUUCUUAUUCGUUCUGCUAUUCAUUGAAACUCUUUCAAUCAACUCAGAAUUACACUUAAUCUUAUAAGUAUAAUCAUAUUUACUAAACUUUAGUAAAUCAUGACGAAUAUCUUUGUCGCUCUUGUGGUGGACUUGAUCAACACACAACCUAGUAUGCUCGAUCUCCUAGUCCUUCACUUGACACUUUGUCAAAGAAUUAGUCUAAUUUCCAAAAUAUGUAGUCUCUCAUUCAUCACGCAACCAAGUUGUAUGAUUCCAAGUUUUUGUCCAAUUGAAACUUGGGCGAUGAGAAACUCUCCCUAUUUGGUAAAUUCUCGACAUUUCCACAAAUAACCUAAUUAAGAAUCAAAUCCAUCUUCGCUNCGACAUUUCCCAAAUAACCUAAUUAAGAAUCAAAUCCAUCUUCGCUAAUAAUAGAAACCUUCAAACAUCAAUUUCUCAUACACACCAUUGCAAGGAUAAAUAAAUAAUAUAAAAUCAAAAUUUAUUUUAUUGUGGAAAAAUUUGUCCUUACAAUGCAAUUCAAUCGAAAACUAUGUUAAUACAUAUUUCUUAGAAAUCUAUCCUAACUCCAAGUAGUAGCUCAAGAAUCUAAUCUUCAAGGAAUGCGAUCGAAAUCCAUUUCUUCAUGUUUAGAUUCAGCUCACUUCUUCCCUUAAGCUUCCUCUCUUUUCUUCGAUCCUAUAAAACAUCAAAAUGUAAUCUUAUCACAUCAUGUAUUAAGAAUCUUAGAAUAGGAACUUAAAAGAGUUAGUUAAUGGAUUUUACCUGAAGUAGAGUCAUACGUCUUGACUCUCCCAUCUCUUAGAUCUCUCAGGUAAAUAGGAUAGCUUCGUCUUCAAUGCCCCUUCUCUUGGCAAUAAAAGCAAAUGGACUCCUUUGGCACAACACAUCGGACAAUCAUAGACUUAGUUCUUUCUAGACUUACGAUGUUGCCAGUGUUCAUUGCAGUUUGGGAGUUUGACUCACCAGAUAAAUUUUCUUGACCAGCACGCCAAAUCAUUGCUGAUUCAAUAGCUAUAAGCAAAUAGGUGAGAUCCAUGAGGGUCACGUCGUGAUACAUCAUAUAGUACUCUCUAACGAACUCACUAUAUGAUUCAGGAAGCGACUGGAGAACCCAAUCAACAGCCAACUCACCUAAAAUCUCAACACCCAACAUCCUUAACCUAUCAAUGUGUGACUUCAUCUCUAUGACGUGUGUACACACAAGUUUCCCAUCUUCGUGUUUACUUGUCAAAAGGGCUUGAGUGAGCUUGAACUUUUCAAUUCUUCAAACUUGUGGGCGUGCUUAAGGCUCAAGAACACUAGUGUGUGUUCUUGGUGAAAUGAAGAACACAUGAAUAUCUAUCAAAUGAAGAGAUGUCAUGGAUGAAAUCAUACACAAACACUAGAUAAUGAAAUUUAUUAACUAAUCAAGUAAGAAAACACUUACUAAGUUGAAGAUCUAGUGAAGAACUUGGAUGAUACUUGAGAGAGAAUGAGUUCUAGGCUUGAAAAUGAUAAAAUGACUAAAAUUACUAAGUGUCAUAUUUAUACCUUAGAGUUUACGGCCGUAAACUCCAUGUUAUGGUCGUAAACUGCAAACUCUUGGAGUUUUGAGACUUAAGUGUUGUACAUUUAACUCUAGAAUAUACUUCCUAUGGUUACCUCUGAUGUAUUUAAGAUCAAAACACCCAAACGGACUCCAAAACUGCUAAAAAUUUGUAGCAGUAAGUUUGACUUUGAUUGAAUGCAGGGUUUUUUAUAAGAUUGAAAUUUCGAGUUGGCACAUCAUCCCCCCGUUAGAGGGAAUUUCGUCCUGAAAUUAGAGUUUAAGCAAAUAAGUAGUUACAAAUAACUAAGUAAAAAAGAUGAGUAUAUUUGAUCCUCGCGCUCCCAGGUGAAUUCAGGUCCUCGCUUGGCGUUCCAGCGAACCUUCACUAUCGGGAUACGACUUUGUUUCGUUUGCUUGACCUCUCGGUCCAUGAAUUCUACAGGUUCUUCCACGAAGUUGAGGCUCUCGUUGAUCUUGAUCGCGUCGAGUUGGAUUACAACAGUCUCGUCAGACAGACACUUUUUUAAGUUUGAGACAUGGAAAGUAGAAUGUACGUUACUGAGUUCACGCGGUAGAUUGAGUUUGUAAGCUACAGGGCCGAUUCUGGCAAGAAUCUCGAAAGUCCCUACGUAUCUUGGAUUUUGCUUUCCACGCUUUCUGAAGCGUAUCAAGCCCUUCCAAGGUGAGACUUUCAAAAGGACUCGGUCUCCCACCUGGAAUUCCAAAGGUUUCCUUCGUUUGUCUGCGUAGCUUUUCUGUCGGUCUCUAGAGGCUUUCAAUCAUUCACGAAUCUGAACGAUCUGCUCUAUCGUUUCCCGUAUGAUUUCCGGACCUGUGAGAGUGCUGUCAGGAACUCGUCCUUUAGCUAACUGGGUGUCACCCACCUCAGCCCAGCACGGAGGGGAUCUGCACUUUCGGCCAUAGAGGGCCUCGAAUGGAGCAACCUUUAUGCUCGUUUGGUAACUGUUGUUGUAGGAAAAUUCGACAAGGGGUAAAUGAGUAUCCCAUGCUUUCCCGAAGUCAAUCACACAGGCUCUCAUCAUAUCUUCCAAGGUUUGGAUAGUUCUCUCACUUUGUCCGUUAGUCUGUGGAUAGUAGGUUGUACUCAUGUCCAGCCUCAUUCCUAGGGAACUUUGUAGUGACUGCCAGAACCUCGAAGUGAAUCUACUAUCUUUAUCGGAGAUAAUGGAUAUGGGAACACCAUGCAGUCGUACGAUCUCCUUAAUGUAUGUUCUUGUUAGUUUCUCCACCUUUUCAGUCUCUUUGAUUGGUAGGAAUGCGCGGAUUUGGUCAAUCUGUCGACGAUGACCCAAAUGGUAUCAAGUCCACCCGUUGUCUUGGGCAACUUGGUUAUGAAUUCCAUAGUAAUCCACUCCUAUUUCCAUUCUGGUAUCUCUGGUUGCUGAAGUAAACCUGAUGGUUUCUGGUAUUCGACCUUAACCUUUACGCAAGUAAGGCAUUUACUCACGAAGGUAGCAAUCUCUGCUUUCAUGUUAGGCCACCAACAUAACUUUUUAAGAUCCAGAUACAUCUUAUCCGAAUUUGGAUGAAUGGAAUAUCGAGUGUUGUGUGCCUUGGUCAUGACAAAGUAUCUGAAUCCAUCAUGUUUCGGUGUCCAGAUUUGGUCCAUGAGAUAUAAGGCUCUGCCACCCUUUACCACUAAGUUCUUUUCCAUCCCUUUUAGGGAUUCACCCGUCACAUUUUCAGGUUUCAAAGCUUCGAGUUGAGCUUCUUUAAUUUGUGUGGACAAGUGCGAAUGGAUGGACAUAGUUAUUGAUUUGACUCUACCACCAGAGUAUUCUUUCCGACUUAGGACGUCAGCUACUACGUUGGCAUUGCCGGGAUGAUAACGAAUUUCGCAUUCGUAGUCAUUGAGUAGCUCGACCCACCGUCGUUGUCUCAUGUUGAGCUCCUUCUAAUCAAAGAUGUGUUGAAGGCUUUUGUGGUCUGUAAAGAUAGUGCUUUUCGUACCAUACAGAUAGUGUCUCCAGAUCUUUAGAGCAAACACCACUGCUCCUAACUCAAGAUCAUGCGUGGUGUAGUUGACUUCGUGUAUCUUUAGCUGUCUUGAGGCAUAGGCGAUGACCUUACCUUGUUGCAUCAGAACACAUCCGAGCCCAUGGUUGGAUGCAUCGCAAUAGACUACAAAGUUUUCUAUUCCUUCUGGGAGGGAUAGUAUUGGUGCGGUGCAUAAGGCUCGUUUCAAUGUUUGGAACGCCUUCUCUUGUUUCUCUUCCCAGUCAAAGGCCACACCUUUCUGGGUCAGUGUGGUAAGUGGUUUCGUGAUACUAGAGAAGUUUUGUAUGAACCUGCGAUAGUAGCCAGCGAGACCUAGAAAUUGACGAAUUUAUGUAAGUGUCUUUGGUGCUGACCAGUUCUCAAUGGCUUUGAUUUUGGAAGGGUCCACGUGAAUUCCCUCUUCACUAACAAUGUGGCCCAAGAUUUCGACUCUUUUGAAUCCAAAACUCGCACUUAGAGAACUUCGCAUAGAGCUUCUCCGAUCGUAAUGUUUCUAAGACUCUUCGUAGGUGUUGACUAUGCUCCUCCUUACUUCGAGAGUAGAUGAGUAUGUCAUCGAUGAAGACAAUGACGAACUGAUCCAAGUAAGGACGGCACACCCUAUUCGUUAGAUCCAUGAAUACAUCUGGUGUGUUGGUUAAUCCGAAUGACAUCACUACAAACUCGUAGUGUCUGUAACGAGUUCGGAAGGUUGUCUUGGGAACAUGCUCCUCUAACACUCGUAACUGGUGAUACCCGGAUCGUAGAUCUAUCUUCGAGAAGUAGUUGGCUCCUUGAAGUUGAUCAAAUAAAUCGUCUAUGUGGGGUAGAGGAUAAUAAUUUUUAACGGUAAGCUUGUUGAGUUCCCUGUAGUCGAUGCACAUACGAAAAGAUCCGUCUUUCUUCUUGAUGAACAAGACCGGUGCUCCCCAUGGUGAGAAGCUUGGCCUAAUGAAACCCUUCUUGAGAAGUUCGUUAAGCUGACCGGAAAGUUCUUGCAUCUUUGCUGGUGCCAUUCGAUAUGGAGAUUUGGCUACUGGAGUAGCCCCUGGCACUAAGUCGAUUCUGAACUCGACUUGACGUUGCGGUGGUAAUCCCGGUAGUUCUUCUGGAAAGAUGCCGGGAAAGUCGCGCACUUCUGGAAUGUUCUGAAUGUCCUUCACUUCUUGACUCGUAUCGACUAUGUGUGUGAGGAAUGCAUGAUUUUCCUUUCGCAAGCACUUCUAAGCUUGGAUACACGAAAUGAUACGAAGGUUCGUACUAGGUUUGUCGCCGUAGAUAACUAGAUUUUCAUUGUUAGGGAGGUUAAGACGAACUGCUUUCUCAAAACAUAUGAUGUCGGCGUGAAGACGACUUAACCAAUCCAUACUGAUUAUGACUUCGGAACUUUUAAUUGGGACCGGCAUGAGGUUUAUUUUGAAAGAAUGACCAUUUAUAGUUAGAGUACAACCUAUGUAUAUGCAGUUAGUACUUUCUGUUUUCCUGUUUGCCAUUUCUACAGUGAAUGAUUCAUCUAGUGCACGUGGUUUUUGUUUAAGCAAGUGUGCAAAUUUCUGGUUUACGAAACUUUUCUCCGCUCCACUCUCGAUAAGUAUGCAUGCAUAUGAAUUAUCGAGGAGAAACCUACCAGUAACUAUCGUAGGAUCAACUACGGCUUCCUCGUGAUCUAUAGCCAGAACUCUUCCCACUCUUCCAGCAUUCCCUACCUUCGGGCAGUCCCUCUUGAAAUGACCAACCUCGCCACAACCGUAGCAGGCUUGACCUACUCCACCAGCAGGUACUUGGUUAAUCGGUUGGGAUGGUGACUUACAGAAUCGGGCGGUAUGCCCUUUCUUGUUGCAGUUACGACACAACAUCUCUCAUCAAUUUCCGUUAUGGUGAAAAUUGCACUUGCUGCAUUUAGGGAGAUUACCAGCAUAAGGCUUAGCUGGUAAGGGAUUAGCAGGGACAACAGGAGUUACAGUGGCAGCAUUGAUUGUAACUAGUUUUUGUUUCUUUGAGGAUUCUUGUGAAGUCCCGCUUUUCCUCUUGUUCCAGCCCCUUUUCCUGUUGUUGUUGUUUCCCUUUUGUUGCUCGGGUGUAGCAAUUGUUGCGUUCUGGUAGUUUCCGUGAUCGAUAAUAGAUUGUGCCAGUUCUUUAGCGCUGUCAAAAGUAAUAGGCCUUGAUGCUAACACACUUGACUGAAUUUGGGGCGACAGUCCCUAAAUAUAUCUCUCUAUUUUCUUGCUCUCAAGAGCAACCAUAUCCGGGCAAAGCAUUGCCAGAUCACAGAAUCUAUUAGUAUAGGUUGAUACGUCAGAACCAACCAUUUCAAGACCCCAGAGUUCCUGCUCGAGUUUUUGAAUUUCCCCUCGUAGACAAUACUCUCUCAUCAGCAUGGCUUUCAACUUAUCCCAGCUUAUCGAAUUUGCCACAAUUAGAGUCAGUGACUUAACGUGGCCAGUCCACAAAGUUAAAGCCCUGUCAGAAAAGGUACAAGUAGCAAACUUGACCUUGUUGUUCUCUGGGCAGGCGUAGAUUUCAAAGACUGCUUCUAUCUUUUCUAUCCACUGCCUUAAAAUCAUCACCCCUCCAGUUCCAUUGAAAUUCAUGGGUUUGGCAUUUGUAAAAUCUUUGUAGGUGCAUUCUCGAGGGUGCCCAUGACUCUCGCCAUGGUUGGAAAGAGGUGCACUAAUUCCCGAUCCACUAGGGACAAGAGUAUUGAUGUGUGACAUGGCAGCCACUACGGCCGCCAUGACAGCUGCUUGGAACAUAGCAGCGUCGAACUGAGGAGGUGGCGGCAGUGGUGGUGGUAUUGGUGCUUCGUUAUUAUUGUUACGUCUUGGAUUUCUGCGAGGAAGCAUCUUUUAACUUCAAGUUUAAAAGAUAGAAACAAUGAUAAGAAUCCAAUAGUAUAGAAAAUGAAAGUGUCUUGUGAACUAAGUCACCAAAGUUCGAUAUCAAAUGAGAGUAAUUUCUGAGUAGAUUAGAUAACUGCCGAAAUUACUGGUAUAUAAGAUGUAAAUAAGUUCGGGAAAAUGACCUGACUAUAGGUCUUACAUCAUACCAUAAGGGAAAAUGUUGACAGUUUAGAAGUCAAAUAAAGUACUUGAGAGACAGGGAUAUUUUACAGAAAAGUGCUUCAUAAAGCACCGAUACAAAAGGCUAUUCCUUAAACUAAAAGAAGGGAUGAGUCAGACAUCUUCUACCGGCGAUGGGUAUUCCUCGGGUGAACCCUUAGAUCUGCCAGUUGACGUACUACGUCUUGAAGAUGUCCCUCAUGAGCUCUCUGACGCACUCGAAGUUCUAUAACCUCAAUGCGGGAUACAUGUGACAACCCGAAAUUUCCAUUUGUACGAACGUUAUCUAUUCAAUAGAAGCUAGUCCAGUUUCAGUGGAUUUCAUACUCGUCCGAAUGAGUUUGUGUACAUUAGGGUCUACGUUUAAGGAGAUAUCAGGAGAGUGGAUGCUCCUGGGUUUGUGAAAUUUGAACAUUCCAAGUUUCAUAAUGUUAUAGUCCAAGUUCGAGAAUAAAAAUAUUUUCUGUCAAAAUAUUUCAGGACUAUAAAUAGAUUUCUGAAUUAAAUUAAUUCAUUAUUCACAAUUCCAACUAGAGAAAAGCCAUUUUCUCUCUCACGGAUCUUCGGGUUUUCAUCCCAGAUUGUGAGUCUACUUUCCUAUAUGUGUUUUAAUACUUGUUAUAUGCUUAAUAACAUUAUUUACAUGUCCAAAAUACAAGAUCCGGGAGCUUACGGCCCAAGAACGUUCUUGGGGUGUAAACUCCAAAACAAGGCCUAAAAGCUACCUAGUCUCAUUUCCAUGUUAGGUAUCUAGUUAGGGACUUUAUGUAUGAACAUUAGAGGCUAGAAAUCAAUCAAAAUCAUAUAGGUUUAGGAGUUUACGGCCAAGGAUAUGCUCUUGGGCCGUAAACCCCUUUUUCAAGGGCUAAGAGUGCCCUAAACACCCCUAAGGCUUUAAGACAAUUACCCUUUAAUACUUAUGACUUGAAUGGGGAGUAAAUUACAUCAAAAUCAUCCCUUAAAGGGAGUUUACGGCCAAGGAACAUCUCUUGGGCCGUAAACUCCAAGUGAAGGCACAAAUGUGUGCCUAAUGUCCCCUUUAGCCUUAAACAAAAACCUAGAAGCUAUCCUUAAUGUGCAAGGGACUUAAAAGAAUUAAAACCAACACCCCAUAUGAUUUUACGACCGUAAACUCUAGGGGAUAUGGUAUUUAGGCCGUAAACUCCUCUAUGGAGCAUUCUAGGGCCUUAAACUACUUCAAGGAUUAUUCCAACAAUGCUAGGCUUAUUCUAGGAUUAGUAUAGCACCUUAAAACACCCAAAACCACCAAGUGUGGAGUUCACGGCCGUAAACUCAAGGGUUUACGACCGUAAACUCCAAGGGUGGGGUUUGUUGGGUGGUGAACUCUUAUUCAAGGUCUUUUGGUACAUUAAACCCUUUUGCCUUGUCCCGUAUCGACUAAGAUGCAACCCUUAGGACCUAUAACAUUUAUACAAAGUGUUUACAUGUUCCUGAGUGUCCCAACUUAUUUUAUUAAGUUAUUAUUUGGCUAAUUAGUUAUAUAUAUGCUUAUUAUAUGAUAACUAGGCUCGUGCGUGUAAGCAAGUCUCCGUUUGCCACCUAGCACGGUAUCCGACACUACAAUCCAAACAGCUCACCACAAGUGAGUUCAUACCCCUUUAAUCAACCUUUGAAAUGAUUUUAAAUGUUUUAAAUACUUUAUGGGGGGAUACAAGUUAAAUACUUAUAGUUAUUGCUUCAAUCACAUGUGAUUGCAUUAAUCACAUGUGAUUAAUAACUAGGAAACCAAUGAUUUUAUCACUGUUCAAACUGUUUAUCAAACUGUUUUACUUCAAAAUGUUUUACAAACNUAAAUGUUUAUUAAAAUGACAUCAAAUCAUUGUUAAUAAUUGUUCAAAACGCAUAAGAUGUCUUACAAAACCAUUUUACAUCCUUGAACUAAACUAUGCAUAUACACUUAUAUUCUUAUUUAUAUAUAUAUAUAUAUAUAUGUGUGUGUGUGUGUGUGUGUGUGUGAAUUUCAUUUGUUUUAUUUCAAUUAGUUUUGUUGAUUGUAUACUUCUGUCAUAACAUAACUUGGAUACAAUUUUUUCAUGAUUUAGGAAAUUGGAACUCAAAAGUUUUGGUAACAACUUUGGCUAAUAUGGAUUAUUACAGAUAGUUUAUAAUUAUGAAACUAAGAGCCUUUGAUAAAAAUGGAACUAGUCAGACAACCAUCCUGCUUAUGCCUUUGUAAGCAUUUGUGCAAACUAUAUGACAUGUGUAUAUGUAUGAUAAACACUCAAAUAGCUCUUCAAUCUAUUUAGUGAUUUCACAGAAUUACCUAUAGAAACUGCAUCAAAAGAACAUAUUUAUGUGGAUUGCAGAAAACGUAAUGACCAAUUUGAUUAUAUCGAAUAUUUUCUUCCUACACCAAGAAUCAUACCAUGAGAAGAAAAUAUCAAUAAAUCAAUUAAAUAUACAUUUAGUUUCAUUCUUUAACUUUCUGUAAAAAAAAAAAAAAAAAANACUUACCAUUCCGAAUCCCACUGAUUAGCACCAGUGGUCGAUGAACGUCUACGGAUGUCUAAGGUUGUCACUUAUUUAGUAGUCAGUGAUGGGACUAACCAUCCCUCUGUCCAACUGUUGCAACAGUGGAUGAGAUGAGAAUCUUCGUAGGAUCAUUAGGUUAACGCUGUUAGGGGACUAACCCUCCCUCCACCCUGCUGCCGCUACAGAGGAUGAGGGGACACUCUUCGGAUGUUCCAUAGGGUCUAUCUUUCGCUUCAGCGAUGUCGUGUUUGUCCUGGUAAUCCAAGACAAUAAUACUUGCAUGAUUAUAUUUUUCCUACUUUACUUUAUUUUGUGAUAUAUUCACAUAAACGAUGAGUUAGACUAAGCACUUUUAGUACUAGUCAAUAGAAAGGAAAAACUAUCAUUUUACUUACAAAACAUUCGGGUCUUGGUAGAAGACUACAUAGUCAUAACAAAACAUUCGGGUCUUGGUAGAAGACUACAUAGUCAUAACAGAACAUUCGGGUCUUGGUAGAAGACUACAUAGUCAUAACAGAACAUUCGGGUCUUGGUAGAAGACUACAUUGUCAUAACAAAACAUUCGGGUCUUGGUAGAAGACUACACUUCAUACAUACAGAACAUUCGGGUCUUGGUAGAAGACUACAUUUCAUACUUAUAGAAAAUAAGGGUUUUUCUAAGGAUUUCAUACUUACCUCAACAUUUUCAUUUAAAGGUUUACAUGGCUUUCAUAAUAUAUUUUCACAAACAAGGCAAUGACACUUAUAUACUUAUGAAUUCACCAGCUUUAAAGCUGAUACUCGCUUUCAAAAUAACUUGUAUUCUCAAGUUAUCAGUAGACAGGUACGGAGGCCAGGUUUUGAGAAGACGGAGCAGACAAGUCUCGUCUUUUAUUUUGAUUGUAUAUUUUUGGUGUCUUAUUACAAUGAAAGAACACACAUGUAUUAAACUUUACUUAUAAUGCAAUGGAUGAUGUUGUUGCUUGUUUAUUAUAUUACACUAUUGUGAUACUGUACAUGACGUCCUCCACCCCUGAACGUUUCCGCCGUUCGUGGUUUUGGGGUGUGACAAUGCAGCUAGCUAUUGCUGCAGAGCCUCAUUGGUUCUCCUAGUCCUUUCCAUGGCGUCUUCGAGUUGGCAUAUGCGGACCGUGUUAACGCCAGAGUUAGUGUCAAUUUCCAUGACUCGGUCGAUAACUGCUCUACCUUGCUCGGUGUUCCGAGAAAUCCUGCGGACCAUAAUGGGCAGGACUCGGUCAGCAGAGCCACCCUCGCUUAUGUUGUAAAAGCUUCGGUCCCCGUUAUAGGGUAAGGCUUGACCCUGUUCAUCACUCCAGCGAUUCAAGUUUGUCGCCCACAAGGGUGUGGGAUCUUGAAACGCAGGUCGGGGGUUAAGAUUUGGGGCUUGACCCACUUAAGGUAGGUUGUUGACUUCGGGCUCGGAGUCGGAACCAUCAUAAAAGCCUUCUGCGAGGUGAUCAUCCAAAAGGAUUGGAUGGUCAUCUUCCGGCUCAUUGUCAAGCCAUCCAACAUUGACUUGGUUUGGGAAGUACGAGUCUCCGGGGAUGUGGAAUCCAACCAUGAUAUCUACGCGAGAAAAGGGGUAUAAGAAAUAAUUAAUAGACGUACUAACUAAGAUAAUUAUAAGAUGAUCCUUAUUAGUUACUCCAACAUUUGCGUAGUGCAUACCAAUCCUACGUAAUCAAAACAGGAUAGACCUUCGAAUAAGUGAUCCUAACCCUAAGUCUACAACCAAACAAGGAACAGGAAGUAAAGCAAAGAUCACAGAUUCUAAGUCUAUGCCACCCUAGUUACAUAUAACCAUAGUGUAUCCACUCAGCAACUAUUGACAUACUAAUAAAGACCUGUUUAUUUCUCAAAUAAGUAAUUAUAUUAACACAAAAUACUCCUAUAGUAUUUUAAGUUUAUGUUUUGUUCUAAUGUUCUCAUUGUAGUAGUGUUGGUAUGUUUUUAGACUUGUUGUCAUAACACAACCAUUCCUGGGCAUAUGCUAAUCACUUCUCGGACCAUCAUAGUUGAUCAGGCUAUGCCACUCCCAAAACUGACCAUACAUCCCCAAGCCUAUUUGUGAUAUCCAACAAUCAUAAUAAUUUUGUUCUGUCCUAGUGACACUGAUUUUAGUAUGAAUGCAGGUAUGUAUACUUAGUUAAAUAUUUUAUUAUUUAAAAGUAUAAACUCUUGUUCAGAGUACUUUAAUCCAUUGUGUUUAUAGUUAGUAUAUCUUUUAUGGGUUGAUAUACUCAAUUCAUUAUAAACAAUGCUCUAAUACCAAUCUGUCACACCCCAAAACCAAGAACGGCGGAAACGUUCUGGGGCGGAGGACAUCAUGUAAAGUAUCAUAACAAUGCAAAGUAGUAAACAAGCAACAACAUCAUCCAUUGCAUUAAUAGUAGAGUUUUAAUACAUGUGUGUUCUUUGUAAUGUAAUAGACACAAAAAAUGAAUGAUCAAAAUAAAAGAUGAGUCUUGACUGUGCUCCGUCUUCUCAAAACCUGUCACCGGUACCUGUCUACUGAUGACCUGAGAAUACAAGUUAUUUUGAAAGCGUAGAUCAGCAUUUAAGCUGGUGAAUUCAUAAGUACUUUAGUGUCAUUUAUUUGCAUAAUUUUGAUGUAAAUACUAGUAAAUGUUCAAUGUAAAUGUUUGUAUACGUUUGAAAACCCUAGAAAAUCCCAUAUUUCCUACUAGUAUAAAAUGUAGUCUUCUACCAAGACCCGACUGUUUUGAAGGUUUGCUUCUCUGUAUGAAUGAAGGUUUUUCCCAUGUACAACUAUUAUUAUCAAAACAUAGUCUACCUCAUCGUUUAUGUGAAUGUGUCACAAAAUAAAGAUAUUGUGUAAAAUUAUAUAGUCAUUGAAAUCGUAUCCAUUUGUCUAGGAUAAACACAACGCGGUAAAUCUCCGAACAAUACAACCGAGAACAUCCGUCGAUGAACAGGUCCCGCUGUAGCUAGCAGCCAGGUGUAGGAUGGUCAGUCCCGUAUAGUAUGUAGUAAUUCUCUUUGUAUAGGAUGUUAGUAUAGACCAUGAAUAAACUGACUCAUGUAUGUUCCCUUGUACUAGGAAUGGUAAUUAGUAUCUCCUAAACUAUACCUAUUAUAGCUUACUAGAAUGUAGUUUGAAUGUCCAAGUAUGUUCAUACACCUUUGUAGCUCAAGGGUGUUGGAACUGAAGAAGAAAUAAAGCUCUCAUAUCAAUACAUAUAUACUUGAUACAUAAGUGUAUAGAUAUGGUUUUUAACAAUAUAUAAGUUUGAAAGAGGUUUUGUAAUACAUUUAAAGGUUUUGAACAAUAAAUAAUAACAACUUGAUGUCAGUUUAUAAAACGAUUCAAAAUUAGUUUGUUUGAUAACAAAGUUUAAAGUAACUGAAAUCCAUUGUUUGAAACACAGUUUGAAGUAUAUGAAAUCCGUUGUUUGAAAACACAGUUAUAAAUCACAUGUGAUUGAUUUUAUAAUUAUGUGUUUUCUACUUGUAUUCCCCCCCCCCCAUAAAAGCAUUUAAAGUCAUUUAAAAGGAUAGAUUAAGGGGUACGAACUGCGAAUGUAAGAUCGGUAAAGGAUGCUAAGUGUCAAGUGAGGACUUGAGCACACACGGAUCCUAUUUAACAUAUAAUGACACAUAUAUGCUUACAAUUAGUGUUUAUAACAACUAAUUAUGAAAUGGAACAACCUUAGGGACUAGGAAACACUUAUAUUGAAGUGUUAAACCACAUAGGGUUGCAUAUAAGGAGUGUAGGGCCUCUUAUUAGAGUUUAUGGCCCAUAUGGUAAUAACCACAUGAGUUUACGGCCAAUGGGAAAUUUUCCCAUGAGUUUACAGCCGUAAACUCAUGGUACUAAGUACCAAUUUGUGUUAUAAGGUCCUACAUGUCAAUUUGAUAAAGUCUAAGCCUUAGGAAGGAAUGGUGGCACCAUUGCACCACUAACUAGUGUUUACGGCCCAAGGACCAUUUCUCCAUGAGUUUACGACUGUAAACUCAUGGUAUUAUGUACCAUUUCAAUGUUUAAGGUCCUUAGUUCAUGUUAGAAGUGUUCUAGACUUGAUUCCAAGGCUUUGGAGGGGAUUAGGGCUCAUUUAGACCCUUAAAUAGAGUUUACGGCCCAAGGAGGUUCCUUGGCCGUAAACUCCCUUUUGAUCUUGUUUUCUUGAUGAUUUCUAAGUGUAAUCUAGUUGAUUGAAGCAUAGAAGAAGCUAAGAAAGGAGUACUUACAAUUUAGAAGCUUGUAAAGGUGCUUAAGGCUCAAGAACACUAGUGUGUGUUCUUGGUGAAAUGAAGAACACUUGAAUAUCUAUCAAAGGAAGAGAUUUCAUGGAUGAAAUCAUACACAAACACUAGAUAAUGAAGUUUAUUAACUAAUCAAGUAAGAAAACACUUACUAAGUUGAAGAUCUAGUGAAGAACUUGGAUGAUACUUGAGAGAGAAUGAGUUGUAGGCUUGAAAAUGGUAAAAAUGACUACGUGUCAUAUUUAUACCUUAGAGUUUACGACCGUAAACUCCAUGUUAUGGUCGUAAACUCCAAACUCUUGGAUUUUUGAGACUUAAGUAUUGUACAUUUAACUCUAGAGUAUACUUCCUAUGGUUACCUCUGAUGUAUUUAAGAUCAAAACACCCAAACUGACUCCAAAACUACUAAAAAUUUGCAGCAGUAGGUUUGACUUUGAUUGAAUGUAGGGUUGGUUAUAAGAUAGAAAUUUCAAGUUGUCACAUGAUCCCUAUUUAAGGACUCUAACCCACCCUUUAGGAUCCUUCCUAACAACAGCCUCCACCCUCUUGAGCCUCCAACUCGAAACCCUAGCCCCUGAAGCAAAUCUUGAGCCUUUUUAUGUGUUUUGGGUGCAUUUUGGAAGAAAGAGAAGUCCAAGCUUGUUGAUUGUUGAAGCUCCGACUUGUGGAUCCAUAACCUACAUUUCUUUUCUCUACUCCAAAAGGUAUAAAGUUUGAUACUUGAUGAUUCAUUUGUUAGAUCUAGCUAGUGUUGGAUUUUAUGAGCUUUUUGUCCCAAAACCUUGGUCUUUGUGAGUAUGGACUACUCCAAACCAUUUAAGUUGUCAUUUCAGACGUUUUAGAGUGCAUGGUGUCAUAAAAAUUCAAUCUUGAUCCAUUCCUUUCAUCUAUGCAUGAGUUAUGGAGUUUUUGGUGAUGUUAGAAGUUAGAGUUUUGGAAUUAAGUUCUCUUUGUCCAUGCAAAUGCAUAAAGUUGGAGACUUUAUGGAUUAGAAUGUCUUUUAGGGUUAGAUAUGAGGAUUGGGUAAAGUGUCUUAAUGAUUAAGACCUUAAAAGUUGAGGUUGGAUUUAGACCGAGUAUGUUGAGUUUGGAUUUAGGCCGAGUAUGUUGAGUGUAACUUUGGCUACGCCUAACAAAGCCAGCUGCAAACCCACUUUCUACCUUUGUGCUCUAUGCUCAACGUGGAGCUUGAGUACGCCGUGCGUAAGGUCAAAAAUGUUGACCAUUGAUUUUCGUUGACUUUUGAUUAAGUGUGCCUUUUAGCCAAUUUGUGAGGGUUUGAGGUCUUAGAAGGGGUAAAAUGGUUUUCCCCCAAAUUAUGGAUUAGACUUGGCUUGGGACUAGUUGAACAUAGAAAAAUACCUUAAUUAUUAAUUAGGGUUAUUUGGUGUGAUAAAUAGGCGGAGUCCAGUUCCGGCAGUUCAGGUGUGAAUUCUAUCAGUCAUCUGUGCAAUGUGAGUUUCCUCCUUAUACUUGUGGGUCGAAGGAACCAAUGUCGAACCACUGGAUUAUCCUGUAGGAUAGUAGUGAGUCUUCUCACUAUACUUGUCUGUAUGGUAGUGUGUGUGUGUGUAUAUAUANNNNNNNNNNNNNNNNNNNNNNNNNNNNNNNNNNNNNNNNNNNNNNNNNNNNNNNNNNNNNNNNNNNNNNNNNNNNNNNNNNNNNNNNNNNNNNNNNNNNNNNNNNNNNNNNNNNNNNNNNNNNNNNNNNNNNNNNNNNNNNNNNNNNNNNNNNNNNNNNNNNNNNNNNNNNNNNNNNNNNNNNNNNNNNNNNNNNNNNNNNNNNNNNNNNNNNNNNNNNNNNNNNNNNNNNNNNNNNNNNNNNNNNNNNNNNNNNNNNNNNNNNNNNNNNNNNNNNNNNNNNNNNNNNNNNNNNNNNNNNNNNNNNNNNNNNNNNNNNNNNNNNNNNNNNNCAGCUGAGUCUAUUUGUUGUUACUAUGAUAUGUGUUGCUGUGUGUGCUGAAACUUUAGGUAGUCUCCAAGGUUGCUGAUAACCCACAGAGUGUGCUGUUUGUCCACUGAGAAUUUGGGGAGUCUUCAGGGUUGCUGAUAACCCAUAAUUGUUUAUUCGUGUUGUGUUGUAUGUGGUACUUUGGGGAACUUACUAAACUUUGUAUUUAUAAUUAUAAAUUAAAUAUUUUUCAAGUACUUAUCAGGCGGCGAAAGCAUGACUGUAUACACACAUCAACAAUUUUAUGAUUCAAGAUUCCGUAUUGUCCUCUUAUUGACUUUGAUUUUGGAAUAAUGGUUUAUGAACAAAUGGUUUAACUUUACUAAAAACAGAUGUUAUAUUAUUUUAAAAGUGAAAAAUUUAACCUUGUUUUUUUUGGAAGUUACAAUAUCGACUAUGGAAGGUGUAAUACAAUGUCUAAGCUUGAGAUUUAUCUAGAGUCUUAUUAAGCUCCUAGAUGCCUCUUACAAGAAGAUAACGUAAGAAUAAUCGCUACAUACAUGGGUGGACAUAGUAGGUUUCCCAGGGGUGGCACAAUCAAACUCUAAAAAUUUACCACUAAGUGCAAAAUUUUGUGUAUAUUUGUCAAAAUCCGUCAAAAAUUCAUCACAAAAUCCGUCAGAUCACAAAUCCAUUGGAAAUCCGUCAUAAAGUCCCAAUAAGUGUAAAUUUAAUGUAAAUCUAUUGAUAAAAUCCUUUUAGCGAUGAUUUUGGUGAAAGAUGCUGUCGUCGAAAAUGAGAUUUUUUCUAGUAGUGCUUCCCUUAAAAAAUUAUGCAACCUAUGCUAUAACUUUCUGAGUCCGCCACUAGUUGCACAAAAACACUAUCAAGAGGUUCACUUAUAUUAUACUAAUAGAUCUUAAUCAUUUUUAGGACACAAACUUCAAAGAUUUGUCAAUGAUGCAAGAUCUUCAUUGAGACAUUUUUUGUAGGAUUAUAUCACAAAAUUCACAAAAGCGAAAUCCCAUUAAUGGAAAAGAGGAGGUAGGAGGUAAGUCCCAUAAGGCUAUACAAUGUACAAGUAACGUGAAACACGUUAUGCCAAUGUGGUGUAUGUUAGGAUGCAUGAACACUGCUUCUCUCUUCGUUAUCCGACACGACAUAAUGGUCCGUUCACUUCUUCACAAUACCUUAAGGGAACAUUAAAAAAAUGGCAUACUUCAUUCGCAUUUAGUCCUAGAAACAACAAAUAUAUAUCAAGAAUUCUAAAAAUACUUAACCCCAGAAACGCACAUUCACUUUCAUCCAGAUUUAAUGGAACACAUGUGGAACACUCAGCAUGCCAACAAUGAUUACGAUGAAGAGUAAAAUUUUUCCGGGUUUUUAAGUAAUUUCCAAUUACUUAUUUUUUUUAAUGUUUUGUAUUUUUUUUAAUUAGUAAAAUGAUUUUAUUUUAAUCUAAGACAAUUUGUUUUAAUUACAUAAAUAGUAAGGUAUAAAUUAUUUUAAGUUUAUGAAGUGGUGAAUAUUUCCUAAGAUAAGUGGCGAUUAAAUGAUGUUGAUAUGACUAUGAAAUAACAUAUUUUUUAUAUUAUAAGGUUAGAAAUAUAUUCAUCGUAGUCUAAUAAUAAUGAUAAUAAUAAUAUGACAUGUUAUGUGCAUUGUCAUUAAAAUGUCAUUAUAGAUCAUAAAACAUUAACUCAUAAUCAACACAACUGUAUUUAACAUGAAAUAUAAGGUAAUAAUUAUUUUAAAAAGAUUUCUCAAGUUUAAACGACCUAAUUGAUCAAAAAGAUCAAUCAUGAUUUUUAUAUAUUUACCCGAAUAUGCAAGGAGUAAUAAUGUUAAUAUAACAAAAUUUCUCUAAGUUUAAAUUCCUUAAUCGAUCUAAAAAUUAAAGAUCAAUCAUGAUUUUGAUAUAUUUAUCCGAAUGUGAAAAAUAUAUUAUUUGUAGACGUAUGAGUAAAGUUUUCCAAAAAUUAAAUGGCCAUUGUUUCAUUGCGAAGAAAAAGGAUUUGAUUCCAAUUUCCAAGUCUCGCCCAAGUCGACGAGGAGGAGGGUCGUGAUGGACGACCCCCUCAAACACUCCAAGAAUCUUCAGGGCCAUUUCAGUAAUUGCAAGUAUCGUGGCAACACUCUUCCGAAAGACAAGGCAUCAUCGAUCUGGACGACCCCGUCGUACACACCAAAGCCACUGGGGGUAUGUCCGUAAUUUCACACGUAGUCUGACGUGGGGAUCCAUGGGUUUUAAGAUGGUCCGCCUCUCUCCUAAAUCCUAAUCCUCUCGCACAGACGAUCUUCUCUCAUCCACUUAACCUUCAAACUUUCAGACAUAAAGAAAAAACAAAAAAAAAGGGUCGUCUGCUAUCGUGCGCCAUCUAAGGUUCCGGCGACUGUAUGAGCGGAUCUGGUGGAAAUAACGGUGUUGCAACGAUGGCAGGAGGAGCAGCAGAACAGCAGUACGCGAAGGCGAAGAUAUCGGUCUGGUGGGACAUAGAGAACUGUCAAGUGCCUAAAGGCUGUGAACCUCAUUCGAUCGCUCAGAAUAUAAGUUCCGCUUUAGUUAAUAUGAACUACUGUGGGCCAGUAUCGAUAUCCGCCUACGGCGACACCAAUCGGAUCCCUGCCUCCGUUCAGCAAGGUCUCAACAGUACCGGCAUCGCCUUGAAUCACGUGCCCGCCGGUAUAUACUCAUAUUACAUCACAUGCAUAAUUCUAUGAAACGUAGUCUAGUAUCAUUUUCAACUGGAAAUGAUAAUUGUGUUUGUUUUCCUUGCUUUAAAUUAUCAGAUUGUGUUGAAAACCGAGUUCAUAAACCCUAACACGAAGUAUUAAGUAUACGUAUACUAUAUUUAUUCAAAUACAUACUAAUAUUUAAGGAAAAAAUAGUUUUUUAAGUUGACUUUUCUUAGUUAGAGUGUUGCACUGAACGGAUCAUGGCGAAUUGAGCUUAUGAGCCCUGAUAUUGGUUAUUUGUUUUAAUUCAAGGUUAGAUCUGUGGAUUCAGUGUGCCAAAGGCCUUUUUGAUGUAUUUUUUGGCAAUUUGUAGAUGAAGCAUGUGGUCAGUGUUGAUGUCUGUACUAAUAUUUGUCAUCUAUUCUGAACAAAUAAAAAUUUGACAGUUCUAAUGCUUCUAAAUGAUUCAUGCUCAAAGAAAAUGCAGUUAUCAUUUGCUUUUCCAAAAUUAUCUUUUUGAAUUUUGUAUAUUUGGAUUUAGAUGACUAUGCUUUGGCAAGUUAUUAUUGUUGAUUUUUAGGGUUGAUCUUAUACCUUUGAUGUUCAUUGUUUUUCGAAAACAUGUUGGUUGUUAAUACACUAGAUGAUUUGCAACGAUUUUCUUUUGCAUUUUAGGCUAAGUUUUUAAUUCAAUUUACUUUUUUUUUAUCGCCAGCAAUCACCACAAGAUAUUGGUGCCAUUGAUUUUGGUUCAUAUGUUUUCUUCAUUUUUUUCCCUCUUAUUUGUACAAUCAAACUAUGUUGUAAAAUUAUGUAUUAAAUCAAACAUUGCAUUUGUUUUUGAAUGAAGGGAAUAUUCUAAAUUUGAUCAAAGUUGGGUAUGAAAACUAUGGAAGUACACAAAUGAACAUAUUGAAUCUAUUUAUAUUGCAUUAAACCCUUUUUCUUUUUUCUGUAUGCCUGAUCUAUUGUUAUUUACAUGAUAGUCCCUACCUAUCUUAAUUAAACUUUUUUUUUAAUGAUCAGGUGUGAAAGAUGCAAGUGACAAGAAAAUUUUGGUAGACAUGUUAUUUUGGGCAGUAGAUAACCCUGCCCCAUGCAAUUAUCUGUUAAUUUCUGGUGAUCGGGAUUUCUCAAAUGCAUUACAUCAAUUAAGAAUGAGGAAAUACAACAUUCUUUUAGCUCAACCUCAGAAAGCUUCCAUUUCCCUCCUUGCAGCUGCUAAAAGUGUAUGGCUAUGGACCAGUCUUUUGGCUGGAGGUCCACCAAUAACUACCGGUGAAUCACCCACACCUGAUACCACCUACAACCACACUCCACCUCCUAACUCACUACAUACUCCGGCUCCCGAGUCAACUCAGAAUCAGAUGCAUCAACCUUUAGAUAACAACAUAUAUCCAAACCCCCAUCCGGGAUUACAGAAAUUUUCAAGUUUGGAAAUAAGAAGAUCA
This 48210-nucleotide long non-coding RNA is filed under the name Lactuca sativa (garden lettuce). RNAcentral's name for it is "long non-coding RNA (LSAT_LNC009598)". The record is from RNAcentral. Lineage: Eukaryota; Viridiplantae; Streptophyta; Magnoliopsida; Asterales; Asteraceae.